Molecule: long non-coding RNA, 45527 nt
Filed under: Olea europaea (common olive)
Lineage: Eukaryota; Viridiplantae; Streptophyta; Magnoliopsida; Lamiales; Oleaceae
Description: long non-coding RNA (OEUR_LNC000087)
Source: RNAcentral
AGUUUUGUUGCUAUUCUUUAAGCACCAUUAGAGCAUGUAGGCUUAGAAAAACCUACAAGUACUUGAAAGAAAUUCAAGUAAACACUUGCUUUCAAAUAUGUUUUUGUUGGGAAAAAAUUACUUACAAGCUUAUGCAUAUGCUUGAUCGCGUUUACGAUAAAGUAAUGUUACGUAUAAGUACUUUUUUGUGAAUUAUGUUCUAGUUUAAUUAGAAGCUACUUAUUUCCGAAGAUUUUUAUUUCAAGAACUUAUAUUUUCUUAAAACUGUGCAGGGGCUCGGAGGAUCACGGGAAGACAGCGACAAAAUAUAAAUCAGAGAAGAGGAGUGAGAUGGAAGCUGAGGGUUACAGAAUUAUGGGCAAUUCUGGAGAUCAAUGGAGUGAUUUGUUGGGUUCUUCCAUUUCAAAACGUUCAUUUAAGCUUCCCAAUCCCAUGUAUUACAUCCCUUGAUGACUUCUGAUUGGAUUCUUUUUUACUGAUUUUUAGUUGGAUACUUUUUUUAUUCAAAUGUUCAAUAAGUACCUGUACAAAUUGGAUAGAACAUCAUUCUUCUGAUCCCGGAAAGCUGUUGAAAACGGGAUUGAAUAGUACAAGGCAGUAUCAAAGAAUGGAGUGAUUUGUUGGGUUCUUCCAUUUCAAAACGUUCAUUUAAGCUUCCCAAUCCCAUGUAUUACAUCCCUUGAUGACUUCUGAUUGGAUUCUUUUUUACUGAUUUUUAGUUGGAUACUUUUUUUAUUCAAAUGUUCAAUAAGUACCUGUACAAAUUGGAUAGAACAUCAUUCUUCUGAUCCCGGAAAGCUGUUGAAAACGGGAUUGAAUAGUACAAGGCAGUAUCAAAGAUGUUAAAUCUUAUUUAUCCAGUGUACCAAACAUGCGUUAUUUUGUGUCGAAUAUAACUUAUUUAGUAAUUAUAUGAUAUUGGUGGGUAAAUAUUAUCCACUGUCAUCAAACUUUUAAAGCACACUCCAUUCAAUCACUAAAUUUUUAUUUGUUUUAGUUGGGUCACUACAUUUCAAUUUAGUUCUAAAUUUCAUUAUUCUAAUGCCUGCAGUUCCCAAAAUUGACAGAAAUUGCUUGGUUGAGAGCUAAAUUAUAAAGAAUUUUUCACUUAGUUGCUACCCUACCCUAAAUACCAACUAAGUAAGGAUCAUGUGGAAAUACAAAAUGUAAUGUUAUCCGACUAGAGGUGGCUUUGAUUGUAACACUUUUUCGAUAUGACAUGGUCAUAAUUUUAGUAUAUCAUACAAUUUCAUGUAUAGUGGAUUCAUUUAUUUUGGAGACAACAUGUGAUGAAAAUGUACGUGAAAUGUAAAGCUAAAUCAAAGUUUAAUGAUUUGAUUGAGGUUUCUCUGUAAGUUAUAUGAUCGUAGAUUAAAUUUACGCCAUGUCAUCUUAUUUUAUACCAUAAUAUGACUUAUUUUCAUGUUAAUAACCUCAAUCAACUAUUGCUUUGUUAUAAUAUUGGAAUUACUCCUUAUUUGAAGGUGAUUAGUGCCAACUAACUUGCAACUACAUGUAUUGAUACAAUUUAGAUGUACUUUUUAGAACAAUUCAAGUAUCUGAAAUAUUUACAGUUAAGUUUCAUUCACUGCUAUUCAACUUUUAAAUGAGUCAUUUAAUUUUAAUUUAUAUUGAUUGAGUUAUUGAACUUUAAUUUAAUUUUAAAAUUCUUUAUUCUUGCGUUCAAAUUGUUGGACAUAUUUCAAAUGAAAGUACAAAAUUAUUUUAUUAAGAGAAUGUUUAGUUAAAAAUGAGUCUGAAGAGGAUGCGCUUUUAGCGAAUGUGGCUCAAACAAGAGCUAUAAUUGCAUUUAAUAUUUGUGCAAAUAAUAAAAUGUUCCAUGAUCAUGGAUAUUAUUAUAAAUUGAGUAGUUAAAUUGUUAAAUACAAAUAGAUUCAAUUUAUAUAGUGAUAAAAAAUAACCGUCUCGAUCAAUAAAUAAGUAGAACACUUUGUGUUUUUAGCAUCGUAUUAUAUUUAUUGAAGUUUGUGUAGGUGACGAUUUACAGAAUUAAAUGUUUUUUAUAGUUAAAAGUUUGUAUGAAAUCAUGCAGCCAAUUUUGUUGCACUAUCCACAUGGACGAAGGGUACAUGAAAAGGAAUGGAGAAGCACAUUUUCCCCCGAGUCACGGUGGCAAACUUCCCGAAAUUCUCGACUACUUGUAUUUGACAAAUCAUAGUGUUUAACAAUUUAGUUUGUCGCAAUGAGCAAAAUAUUUCCAUUCAGAAUAGACCAAACUACGUUCAUCUCGAAAACCUGAUGCCAUGAACUUGUUUCUUCAUCAAUUAGAACCCUGAUGGUAAACACGUUCUUGUUUAAUUUUACUAAACAUAUAGAAUUGUCUGAAUUUCCCCACUUAAAAAUAAAUAGUUUGCAAUCUAGGCCAAGGCCAUUUCAAGAAUUUUGUAACACGGUUCUUGACAUAUCCUGUGGCCUUGGAAAUAAUAAUCAUCCAUGCUUAAAAUAUAAGCCAUAAUGUAUGAUAUCAACCGCAGUCUGAUAGACCACUCCAUUGUGAGUAUUGUUUCGUAACAAAUAUUUCUGCAUGCACCAAUCUUCACUCUUCCUGCAUCUUUCUAAAUUUUCUCUCUGAAUGAGUGUAUUUUAACUUGAAAUCAUAAGUAAUUUUGUCCACCUUGAAUACAAUUUUUAUGUCUAAAUCUCUAUGAUCAGAGUAACCGAUACUGGGUUGCUGGAUUAAAAAUAAAAUACGGCUUUACAUUUUCUAACACAAAUUAACCCAUUACUCGAACCAAAAACCUCACCGGUCCUUGUUAUAAAUUCAAGAGAAUUGAAAGGCACGNCAUUCUUUUUGUAAUUAUGAUUGAGCAUAAAUUUGCAUUUUCAAGUUAACAAAUUUUAUUUAAAUGUAAUAACAACAAUUUCUAUAUAAAUUUUUGGUUGACGAGUCACGUGUGAUUAUGCCAUGUUUGGUUUUACUAUGAAUCGGAUUCUAAAUAAAUAUUAAUAAAAUAUGUAGUUCAAAAUUUAUUGUUAAUUUUGACUUAAAAUUUCUAUCAACUUAUCUAGUUAAAUUAAAUAGGGAAUAUAUUUUUAGAUUAAAGUAAAAUCUUUUUUAGAAUUUAUAAAAAUUUCGAUAAUUUGCUUAACAUAAAAUUCCUUUUAUAUAAAUCUGUAAUCCAUAUGCCAGGACACGUUAUAAAUACACUGAUAUGUUGAUUAGAAAUUUUCAAAAUACACUGAUAUUUAUUUUAGGAUUUUACGAAAUUUAGGAUAGUUCGCUUAAUAUAAAAAUCCUUUUAGUCAAAUUUGUAAUCCUUAUUUUAGAUUAUACAAACCCUAUUGCUCACAUAAUUCUUGUUAGAAUUUCAUGCAUCUAGGUUAAUCAACCAUCAAUAUAAAAGGAUGAAAAGUUUCAUAAAUCUUGAACAAGAGAUUAGGAAAACCACAAUCACGAAAUGGCUAAGUUCUCGACUUCUUGUGCAUUUGUGACUGUCCUCAUAUCUCUCAUUACGACCGGUACAAACUUAAUUCAUUUUAUUUCGAUUAUCUUAUUUCUAUACGCAUAUAACUAGUUGAGAUUGAGACUAAGAAAACCUCAAACGAAUACUUGAAUUUGCAAUUUACAUGAAGUACAAGUAUAAAUUGGUUUGGUAAAGAGGAUGAUGCAGAAUUCGAUAGUAAAUUAUUUGACAUUCAUGAAUCAUCGAAUAAUAUUGACAAUAGUUAAAUUAUAUGAAUGCAGGUUCAAAGGCUUAUUUUACUAGAGAUGUUUGUACACUAAAUCUUGAUUUUGCGUUACAAACUCGUGCGUGAAUGUAUGUGAAAGUUAUGUUGGAGGAACUUGUCUCGUAGAACUGAACAUAGAAGAAAAUGGUCAAGUCGUGGUGAUCAACAUUUUUAUUGUUCCUGUCAUUUCUACUGUCGUAAAAAGAACGAGGCAUUAGCCCCCGACUCAAGGGUGCAACUCUUGCCAUGAACAUUUUCUUAGCAAAUUGAUUGAAGAGGUAACUAAAAAUAAAUAAGGACAGUGUUGAAAUAUUUAAUGAAAUAACAUCUUAUGAAUAUAUUCUAAACAUUCACUAGAAAUUGCAGCACAAAUUUCAGCAAGUUCUUAAAAUCUAUUGUCUUGUAUAUUUAUGGUGCUCCAAUUAUAUAAUUAAACCAGGAGGAAAAAAAGACGGUGGGACAACAAUGAGCCUCGAUGGUGGGAAUAAGGGUUUACGAAAAUAAGGUUUAUUUAUUAAAUUAUUAAUUAUUUUCCUCUUUUUAUUCUAUUUAAUUGAUGGUAUAAUCAUUAUUAAUUAACUAAACAAAAUUCCGUGAUGUAAAAUGUAUUAAAAUUUAGUAUUGUCUUUUUAAAAACAAAAUUUAUCAAUAAAUGGACAAACGAUCAUAAGUUGCAAAUUAAAGACUCGAUGAUAAAGAUAUCGAUAAAUAUUCCAGUGCUCUCAAUUUCAAAAAAAUAGUAUGGAAUUAAGAUCUAAUUAAUUUGUUAAAUGUGAUAAACACCAUUAAAACUAAGAUAGAGAAUAUAUACUUUUGAAAUUUUUAUAUUAUAUAAUUUGUUUUCGAAAGAGAUGAAAUUUAUUGUCUUGAAAUUCCUACCUUGAAGACAUUUUUGAUAUCUCAAUAUAUCAUCUUUUUAUAAGCAAGUGAAAAUAAGUCGUCUUAUUUAUUGUCACUUAGACAUAACUUGAUAUCCUCUUAUUUGUAAGACAAUGUAAUAUGUUGAAGUAGGGUUGGGUUGGAUUGAUUUUUUAUCAAACUCAAACUUAACCCAACAUAGUCGAUUUGAUCUAAAAUCAAAUCAAUCCAACCCAACUAUUAGUUUAAACCCAAUCCAACCCAAACUAAUUAAGCUUGAGUUGGUUUGAGUUGUGUUGGUCGGUUUGGGAUUGAGCUUUCAAAAUUGGAUCCAAUUAUUUUUUGUUGAAUUUGAAUAAUUUUUAAAAUUUGAAUCCAGUUGAAAAUCUCCGAUAUUUUUAAUCUAUGUAAAAAAUUCCUUUUGAAAUUAAUUUAUAAAUAAAUUUGAGACUAUGACGAAUUUUCUUUUUAUAUUUUUUUUGAAAUUUAUUUAUUUCAUUAUCGCGUCCCUAAUUUUCAAUCUAUCAUCAAAUCAUUUUGCAUUUGCGUAGUAUUCAUACCAAUCAGCCUACAUAAAAAAGUUGGACAUUUGUAUAUUCUAAAUUUUUCUCAUGUCUUCACUAUUGUGUCUAUUUAGAUUUUUCAAUUCUAGGUAUUAAAUUUUUUAAUUCAUCGGAUUGGCAGUAGUAGUGACACCUUAUUGCAUGUUUUUAGAGCACUGUUCGCUCGUUCAUUUGAAGCCUGUGAAGUGUUUCCGCAGCACUGUCGCGGGGUGCUACUUAUGUCGUGGUGGCGACGAUGAUGACUUGGCUUGGAUGGUAGGCAAGUGAUGAUGGGUAUGGUGUGUGGUUAACACAAAGAAGGUAGAGAGUGGAGAAAUAGGAGGGAGAGAAAAAUGAAUUGGCGAUGUCAGGGAUUGAAAUUUGGGGUUGGGGUUGGGGUUGAGAUUGGGUAAAAUAAAUGGUUUGUUGUAAUAAAUAUGUAUUAACUAAUUAAUUAAAUUUAUAUUAACACCCGAUUUGUGAAUUUUAAACUUCAUCAUCCCUGUUUUUGAAUUUUACAUUUGAAAUGUAGGAUUUUGGGUAAUUUUCUCAUUUGAGAUGGUGGAUCUCAAUUCCGAAACAACAAAAAGAAGUCUUAUAAAUUAUAAUCUAAUUCUAAGCCAAACGUGGUCUUGGGCCUUAUCCAAUCACAAUAAUGCGCAUACGAGUCUUAACACAUGGACCCGAGGAUUCAACUAUCCAUAAAACCUAGAUCCAUUCCACAGCUUUCUAUUUCCCCAAUUCUUCAAAUCCAGCCCUCCCUCCCUCUCUGUCUCUACUCUCAUGGACACUAUACAAUCGAACUACAUGGAUUCUCCAUCUGAACCUCCCUCCGAGUCACAACAAUAUUCAAAUAUUCAGAAUUAUUCAUACUCUUAUCCUGAAAACCCAUCGGACCCAUCGGAUUCAUAUACCGAAACUCCAUUGGAAAAAACCCUAGAUUCAUCACAUAAUCCGAAUACUGAAGAUGGAGCUACGAAUGGAAGUGCGCCAAAACCCGAGAUGCCGAAGAUUUUGGUUUCGGAAAAUGGGUUGACCAAUAGCACCGACAGGGAUUUUUCCGGAGGCGAAGAGGAGACGACCAGCAGGAAGCGACGGAGGUCCCGGUGGGAUCCUCCACCGAGCGAAUCGAGCAACGAUGGGGCUGGACCUGGAGGAUUUGAUAAUAAUAGUGGAACUGGUGGGAGGAAGCGAAAGUCCAGGUGGGCCGAUGACGAGCCGAAGCCCGUGAUUCAGUUGCCUGAUUUCAUGAAGGAUUUUACUGGAGGUAUUGAAUUUGAUCCCGAGAUUCAAGCUCUGAAUAGUAGGUUACUUGAAAUUAGUAGGAAAUUGCAAUCUGGGUUGCCUUUGGAUGACCGUCCAGAGGGUGCUAGGUCGCCUUCUCCUGAACCUAUUUAUGAUAACAUGGGAAUCAGGAUUAAUACUAGGGAGUAUCGUGCUCGUGAAAAAUUGAAUAGGGAGAGGCAAGAGAUUAUAUCUCAGAUAAUUAAGAAAAAUCCAGCAUUUAAGCCACCUGCAGAUUACAGGCCGCCUAAGCUUCAUAAGAAGCUUUACAUUCCGAUGAAAGAGUAUCCAGGUUAUAAUUUUAUUGGACUGAUUAUUGGACCAAGAGGGAACACUCAGAAGAGGAUGGAAAGAGAGACGGGGGCAAAGAUUGUGAUUCGGGGUAAAGGUUCGAUGAAAGAAGGUAGGCUGCAGCAGAAUAGGAAUUUGAAGCCUGAUCCUUCAGAAAAUGAGGAUUUGCAUGUUUUGGUGGAGGCUGAUACUCAGGAGGCUCUUGAUGCUGCUGCAGGUAUGGUUGAGAAGCUCUUGCAGCCGGUUGAUGAGGUUCUUAAUGAACAUAAAAGACAACAGCUUAAGGAGCUUGCGGCAUUGAAUGGAACUAUUAGGGAUGAGGAGUAUUGUAGGUUGUGUGGUGAGCCGGGGCAUCGGCAGUAUGCAUGUCCUUCUCGAACUUCAACAUUUAAGAGUGAUGUUUUAUGUAAGAUAUGUGGUGACGGUGGGCAUCCUACAAUUGACUGCCCAGUGAAGAAUACUACGGGCAAGAAAAUGGAUGAUGAGUAUCAGAGUUUCUUGGCAGAAUUGGGAGGCACUGUUCCUGAGUCUGCAACCAAGCAAAAUUCUGCAACACUUGCCCUUGGCCCUGGUAGUUCAGGAACCAAUCCUCCUUGGGCGAGUAGUAGUAACAAUACACAAGCUGGUUUGGGGUCUAGCAUAAUCAAGCCAAAGGAAUAUGAUGAGACAAAUUUGUAUAUUGGGUAUCUGCCACCUACCAUGGAUGAUGAUGGUUUGAUCAGCUUGUUCUCUCCAUUUGGUGAAAUUGUGAUGGCUAAGGUUAUAAAGGACCGGCUAUCUGGUCUGAGUAAAGGAUAUGGAUUUGUUAAAUAUGCUGAUGUCCAACAGGCUAAUAAUGCCACUGCGAGUAUGAAUGGCCACAAACUAGAUGGAAGAACUAUUGCAGUGAGAGUUGCCGGUAAACCUCCUCAGCCUACUGUGCCACCGGGCCCUCCUGGUCCAGUAAUGCCGACUUAUCCUUCUCCGAAUCAGCCUGCUGGAGCCUACCCAUCUCAACAGUAUAAUGUAGGUGGUCCAAUUGGCAGUGCGCCAAUGGGGAGCUAUGGCGGGGCUCCAGUUCCAUGGGGACCACCUCCACCUCCUCCUUAUGCAUCUUAUCCUCCACCUCCUCCGGGUUCAACCCUGUAUCCUCCACCUCCUCCUUAUGGAGUGCAAUAUCCUCCACCUAUGCCACAAGCAUCUUCUGGUACCCCAUCACAGACUGUUUCUUCUAUUGAUGCGCAACAAAAUUAUACAUCUUCUGGGGAGUCACAGCAAAAUUAUCCACCUGGAGUGCAAUCUCAGAGUAGUGCACCUGCUCAAUCUGCUCCAACUUAUGUCUAUGGAAAUUCUGUGACAUCCAUGCCGCCGAAUGCCCAAGCUAUGUAUCCAAUGCCUUCAUACAGUUACCCAUCUUAUUAUAGUUCAGUUCCUCCUCACCCUCCUCCUGCUGUGCCUCAGCCACCUGUUGACUCUUCCCAAAGUUUGAAUAAUGUUCCUUGGGCCUCAAAUCCACCUGUACCUCCACCUUCAUCAUCUGCGGAGAAGAGCAGCUAUAGCACAGAUGCAGAAUAUGAGAAGUUCAUGGCGGAAAUGAAAUGAUGAUACAAUCUUCUAGGAUGGCCAUUUAGGAUGAAGGGUAAACACGCUGGAUUCUUUUCCUUAUGUGUCUUGCAUAUAACAUGAUAUAAUUGUUUAUUUUAGGGCAAGAAUUGUCUCAACUCCAUCAAAUUGUAAUCACAUACCAUCUGACAUCUGUUGAUGUAAGACUUGUGCUGUUCAUAUGGUAAUAGAUGGCUGGAGAUUUCAUUGAGGGAAUUGGGAGGACAAGAAAAUUGAACUAAAUAAAUCUCACAUCUUUUUACCAUGGUGGUUGGUUGUGAUGUGAGUUUAACACUGUUCAUCGGCCAAUAAUAUGCGAAGAGUACAAUAUGUUUUCUUCUCUAGCGGGAGAAGAGAACAAAAAUUUGAUGCAACAGUUCACUUUUUACCUAUUUUCAUUUUGUUUUUUUCUCCUUUUUGUUUGUGAGAGUUUUGAUGAGAGGGGGUUGAAGUUUCACUAUGCCUAUGGAGUAACCUGACUUGGUCAAUCAAAUUUUGUCAACUUAUUCUUCAUGACUUUUCCUUUUCUGUUUGUAAUGUUAACUGGCGACGUGGUACAAUGAGGAUGUUCAAAUAUUGGUGGGAUGACUUAGGUGAUUGCUACAUUCAGGGCCGGCCUUGGCAUAAGGCCUACAAGGCAAAGGUCUUGGGCCUCAACACUUUUGGGGGCCUCUAAAAAAAUUUCCACCCUAGCAUUUCUCUUUUUGAAUGAUCCAAAUUUUAAUUUAAUUACUAUUGUUGAUUAGAGCAAUGUAUUCUACUAGAAACUCAAAGUUUAAAGGAUUUUGACUUGGAUCUCUCAUUUAUGCAUAGAUGUAAAGAAAAAAAAAUAUAGUGGUGUUGUUUUUAUAUUAUAUUUUAUUGUUUUGAGUUUAUUAAGCAGUUAGAAUUGUUUACUUUCUUUCUCUAUAAUGAGAAGAUAAGAAAUUCAGCACCCUUUUGUUAGCAUCACUGUUAUAUAUGUAUGUUUCUUCCAUUUGUGAGUUAAAAUUGAAGAAGUACACAAACUGAAAAUGCUUUGUUACAAGCUGUAAAUUAACUUCCAUAUUUGAUUCAAUGCUUGGUCUCUUGAUAAUGAGAUUUCCCAUGGAAAAUAAAUGAAAACUCAAAAAGUUGUUUCGUUCAAGAAAAAAAAAAAAAAAAAAAAAAAAAAAAAAAUAAUAAUAAUAAUAAUAAUAAUUAUCUUUAAAGGCCUCGUAAUAAUUAGUUGCUUAGGGUGUCAAAAUUCUCAGGAUCGGUCCUGGCUACGUUCUCGAGUGGAUCUAAAGAAUUCCUCAGUUACAGGGACGAUGUGAUCCUAGUAGACCAUGUUAGAUGAUCGGGAGGUAAAAAGAUCUAAUUUAUUGUAUCUUUCACUAGAUGUAUAGAUACGUGAAGUACUGAAAAUGAUUAAUUUAUAGAACUCCAAAUUUGUUGAUAGUUAGGCUUAUGUAGUUAUUCUAUUUCGAGGUGAUGUCCAAUUGAGGGCAUUAUGAUUCUGCUAGAUUAGGCUCCCUGGUUUGCGAGAUGGUUGAUUUGACUCUAACAAGUGACACAGGGCAUGUAUGGGCAAGAGGUUCUAGAAUCUAUAGUUUCUUGAAGAAAUUUUCUUUAUUGAAAAUGUGUAUGUAUGCCUCUGGCUGUAGCUUGACUCUUAAGUUCACUCUGGACUCUGGGUAUUUCCAUUAGUCACAGAACUUGAAAGUAGCCUGUCUUUAUUUUCUAUCAUAUCCAUAGUUUGAUGAGUUUUCUUUUUCUUUUUCAUUUUUUCUCUAUCUUUUUUUUAUUUAUUAUUUUAUUAUUUUUUUUACUGUCUUUAAUAUAUAUCUAAAGAGGAGAAAAGAACAUAAUUUAGUACACCUACAGCAAUACACAGAUUAUGUUUUGGUGUUGCCUCGUAUAAAUUGUUGUUUAAGUUGUGUCGAUAGGCAUAUUCUGAUUGGGUAUAACUAUCUAUGUUGCCAGUCAGCGCCUUCGCUGCCAUUUAUAGAAAUCACUGUCUUUGACCUCAUAAUUCUGCUUGAUAAUAUUUGUUUAUGCAUAUUUUCACGUUUGGUGCGAGACUACUUAAUUAUUAUAUCAUGAAUCAUAACACUUGUUUCUUUGUCGUCAUUGUAAUAUUUUGACAGGCUGUUUGUUGGAGCACUUGUCAUCCUGAUUUGUUAUCUCUUGCCCUGACUUACUUGUUGGAAGUUUGGGACUCACAUCUUUAACCUUGCUGUACUGUUAUGACCUUUGCAGAGAGUUGCCACAAAGUUCAGUUCACCCAGCCUUGUGUUGCAGGACUCGUUCAGAGAUUUAUUGCUAUUGGUUAUUCCUUUUGUAGGACUACCUUCUGUCUUUUAUGAGUGUUAUUUUACUUUAGAGCAUCUGGACCUCUCAAAUUUGAUUUAUAUUUUAUGUUUGAAGUUCUUAAUAUUUGGUUUGUCAUUAUUUGCGGUCCUAUCUAACGAUUACUCAGGUGGUGCACUAUGUGCAUUGUUUUCUGCUUCUAAUUUGCUCCCACUUUUAGUUUAUUGAUCUAUUCCUUUUAAGUUUGACGAUUCCACAUUGUUGUAGUUCCUGUCUGUGAAAGCAGGUUAAUGCUUGCUUCUACAAAUCAUUGCCAGAAGGUGUGUGCAUCUUAAAUUGUGAGGUUACCUGGGGUAUGUUAAUAUUAUAAAUUAUUUUUUAUAUAUGUAUCCUGUUCUUUUUCCUAAUAUUUUCUCUCUGGUGUCUUUUUCUAGUGGCUGUAUGGCAGGUAAAGUGAUUGUGCCAGAUUUAAUGUUGUGUUCUCGAGUAUUUCUUUCUAUGUGAAUAGGUUGUGCUAUUCUUAGGGCUCUUAUUAAUUAAAGGAAUUCAGGAGUGAAAUCAUUUGGUUGUGGUGGUUGAUGGUUUUGAAUGAGUAAUUGCAGGAAGAAUAUGUGGUAUAAAUCAAGUGGUUAGUAGGAUUUGGUUGGAGUUUAAGAAGUCUGAGAGGAAUGAUGGUUUAAUCUGUAUAUGAAUGUAGUUAAAUUGGUAAAUUACUUUCGGUUACAUAACCAUGAAGUUCUAUUAGCUGGUGUCAAAGUAUAGUAACUACAUUGUAGGAAGAUAUUAUUUGUUUCUCAGCUUCAAAGCAAUUAUUUACAAGUAUCUAGAGGCCUCUUGUGAUAGAAUUCAUAUCUAUUGUGAAUUUCCUAUUUAUCUGGAGGAGGAAGAUGGAAAAUAUAUUUGCAUAACAAUGAAUUGGUAUAUUCUUGUAGAUCCUUCAUCUCUAAAGAUUUCUCCCGUGCAUACUUCAUUUUCUCCAUAGGAUUGCCUCAAUGUGAGUGCAUGUGUUGCUGUUGAUAAACCUUAUGUAUGAAAUUAGAUAUUGAUUGUUAGGAUAUGACUUUGUCCUGCUGAGUUGCAUAAUGUCAACCACUUUGAAUGUUAUCGUGUAUUCGAAAAGGCUAAUUAGAAAGGAAAAAUGAAUUCGUUCUAGAUGGUAAUGUCAUUUGCUAAGGGUGUUCUGAAAGUUAAGAGAUGUCAAGUUCCUGGCUAUUGAUCUUUGUGAAGUUAUGCACCAUUGUUAAUCGUGUCCAAUUGCAAAUUGAAGUGGUUAUAUUCAUGCUUUUAGAUAUUCUAUUUCUUGUACAUAUUAUAAACUUGCUUUUACAUGUGCCUUAAUUGGAAUGUGAGCAACAACUCAAAUAAUUUUGCAUUGUCAUCUUGUAGUUUAAAGAGUUCGGUCCAAAUAAAAUGAUGUCUAAAUACUUUUUAUUUUUCAAUUAUUAUGUUACUCACAUUUUAACUAACUAUCCAUAAUGAGUUUUAUACAUAUAACACACAUUAUUUGUUAGUUAUAAUUUAACGGUUCAACAAGGGACCUGUAGAUUGAACGAGUAACCCAUGGGUCAAAAUUAAUGACGUAUAAUUUAACUUCCAAAUCAUGUCUGGUAACUAUGCCGCUAUCCCUUUUGCCCCAACUUAUAUUUUCUUAUACCUCUUUUGCAUAGUGAAUUCAUCAAGCACAUCCUGUGCUUAAUGCGUAUUAUUUGUUCGUAUUGGUGUAGUAGGUUUCAUUUAUAUAUUGAGCCCUUGUUUGAGCCACAUUAUUGAAAUGAAAAUGCAUUUUUGAAUGGUGUAUUGAUGGGGAAUGUGUAGUUAAAAAUGAGGAAAAAUUUUGGAUUUGCGUGUAAUAUUAUUUUAUUGAAAAUGUGUGGUUAAAAUGAUGCCAAAUCAUUGUUGAAUAAUGCAUUUUUUUCAAAUAAUGUGGUUCAAAUAGGACCUGAGUAAUGCUAUUUAGCCCUAUUGGGGUUGCAAUUUUCAUUUUUCAUUUAAUCUAUCAUUUAAUGUUAUUAAAACUGGGAUUGCAAUUUCAAUGAGGCUACAUAGCAUUACUCAUAUAUUAUACAUGUCAAUUAAAUAGAAGUAUAUGAUAUUGAGUUUUAGAAAGUACUAGAAAUAUUUCCAUUCUCAAGCACGAAUUCGAAGAGGAUGGAGCAUGUUGGCUGCAGUUGGUCCAUGCUGGUGCAGAAAAUAGUGGUUGAGUUGCUCAAAAUCAAUUGUUUGAUUUCCUUGUGAAUCCGGAAUUGGGAUGAAGCUUCAAAAUUUGAUCCGACAAAUUUGCAGCCUUCUUUUUUGGUUAAGUCCAAUUUGCAUAAUUCAAUUCUGUUUGUGAAAAUUAAAAUUGAGAAUAUUGAUUCUUGGUUAUAAUACUUAGGUCCCGUUUGUUUCCCAUUUUUAUAAGAAUGAAAAUGAAAAAUAUAGUUGUUAUGGGCUUCUACAUGAGAUAGAAUUCAAAUAUGGUAACUUGAUGUGAUGAAUAAAUGUCAUAUUUUUUAUUUUAAUGAGAAAAGAAUGGAUAACAAACAUGGGCUUAUAAAAGGAAAUCUGGUCUAGUUUGAUGUGUAAUAUAUCGAUGGUAGUUUUGAAUUUGAUUAGUCUUUACUAAUUUUAUUUUUCUCUCCAGACAUUUUAACGAAUUAAUGAACGGAAAGGAGUAACCACGCAUCAAAAUAGAUAGGUUGGGAAUCAAGUCGUGACAAUGUGUAUAAGUUUGGGACUAGUGCUGCAAUUUUCCUAUAUUACUUUUUUUCCCAUAAAGAAAGAAAUAUAUCCGAAUCUCCUUUAUAGAAUCUUUUAUGAAAUCGUCGUGUCAUGCGACAAUAUAUAUUACAACUGCGUAGCGCUAUUUUUUUUCUCAAUUAAGACCGAAAUUUCAACCAUCCACCAAUUGAGCCCUGUUUAGCUCUCAUUGUUUUCAAAUUCCCCUUAUCUUAAAAUCUAGAUCUUUAUGCACUUAAAAAAUAUAUGAAAGAUGUCAUAUUCAUCAUUUGAAGCUGCUUCAAUUAAUUUGAAUUUUAUUUUUUUUUUCAUGCCGAAAAUUAGUUAUUUAACAAGAAAAAGGCAACGAAGAAUAUUCGGAGGGUGAAUCCAGCGUAGCUAAGCUGGAUGAGGCGUAGAACAUUUCAUCCAACAUAUCUACUGCCCUCGUAAGUGAAUAUACCAACUGAUCUGUUCACCAUGUGUUUGCGAAAGUGCUGGUGGAGAUGAGCAAUCAAUGGUAAAAGUGCAGCGGUGGGUAUUCUUGGUGGGUUGGCAGAAAUGGCCAACUGGAUGGAUUGUGAGAAUGCUUGUUCAGUCAACUGCAGAGGUGUGGCGGCAGAUGGUGUUGAUGGGGCAGAAGAAAUGGCUGACUGGGUGGGUUGUGAGAAUGCUGGUGGAGUCAACUGUGGAGAUGUGGCAGCGGUUGGCAGUGAUGGGGACGGUGUCGAUUAUAUGACAUUGUCAGGUGGAGAGAUGGCAGCAGUUGGCUGUUGGCGGUGAUGGGGCAGUGUCGAGUUAUGACAUUGCGAUCAGAGAAAUUGAGUAUUGCUUCGUCGCCUCUGAACCUCAAGGCGGCCACGUCGUAUGCUCUGGCAGCAGCCUCGACUGUGUUAAAUGUUCCUAACCAAGUACUGAAGGUGGUUCUUUGUGGAUCCCUUAUAUCUGCUGACAAUCUGCCCAAUGGCGUUUGUCUGAUUCCUCUGAAUCUUCUUUUCUGUCUUGUUUCUUCACGUGAAGGCCCAUACUUAUUUGAUUUUGCCGUUUUUGCUUGGUCCCGGCGACAGGCAUCUGUAGGUUUUGCAAUAUUUGUUUGUUCCAGUCUCUCGCUCUGUUGGAAUAAAACAUUACACAAAAUAACUGUUGUAAGUACUGAAUAGUUUUCCUUGAGAAUGUAUAUAAUAACACAACCUAAAUUCGUAUUAGCCAACCGUUGGUUUAAGUCCAUUAUUCACUAUUUCUCUUGAAGGCACCACAUUACCAUCUCUUUGAAGAUAGUUCCAAAUAUAUGAUCAGAAAAUUCAUUAACAACAACUAUGCAAUAAACAAUGGCAAGAAAUGCAAGGAUGGUGAAUGAGUAAUGUUAGCCUUCGAAGAGCCAACCCGCGAACUAUGUUUGUUACCGGUGAAGAGAAGGGAGUUUCGGCUCACCUAGAAGUUGCGAAUCAUCUUUCAUAUCCAGGCUAGCUACAAGCUGUCAAUGAGAGCAUGUGAGCAAAGUGAAUAAAGCGUGAUUCUAUGACAAAAUUAGUUAUGAGGCAGUCAUUAGGGAGUCACCAUUUUUCAUUCUUUCCAAAAUGAUUAGAUUACCCCCAUUGUUUGGAAGGAAAUCUAUAAAUACCCUUUCAUUUAAAGAAGGAAGCAUGCAAUUCAAAUAAUUUGCGUUAAAAUAGUUAUUUCCCUACUUGUUCUAGUUGAAACAUCUAGACUAGCAAAUUUAGAAAGUGAAACUCAUAAUAAAGUGAGAUGAUUUGUUGAUCGUAUUUAUAUUCAAUCUUUGAUUGUAAUUGUUUUGUCAAUAAAAUCGUUUGAUCUGAUUUUUACCAAGGUAAUUCUACUUCCAAGUACAGAUUCUUCCAUUUAUGGUUCUAUGAUGCCUAAUUUGUUAAUGGUGUGUAAAGUGCAACAAAGAGAUGGUGAAGGGGUUAACUAGUCAUGGAUAGCUCAAAUCUUUGUUUGACAUAAUUCAUCAACAGUGAAGAACCAGUGUACAACCAAAAUGUCACCACAAAAUAAAAUGAGAAAAAACAAAGAAAUCAAAUACAUGAUCUAAGCCAUCUGAUACUGGGGGAAUUGCAGAAACUGGGUUCGCAACAAAUUUAUAAUUUUUUUUGUUGAGUUACCUCAAAUCCUGGCGGUGAUUGGUGGUGAUGGAGUAGAAACGGGCAACUGGGUGGAUUGAGAAGCCUGGGAUGGCAUCAAGUUACCUCAAGGCGGCCUCAUCGUAUGCCUUAAUGGCGGCCUCAGCAGUGUUAAACGUACCCAACCAAACAUUUGUUGGGUUGUAAGUAAGAUUGCUACUAAAAUAAUUUUAUAGACUCGUUUACUAAAAUCCUACUGAUUAAGUUUUCGAGGGAUAUCUGCAAUACACAAGGUUGCAAGAUAUGACACAUAUAAUCUAGGACGAGUGGGAUAUUUGUUGGGUUUUGUGCCAAUUUAGUAUAUUUUGGUAUGAUAAAAUAAUCAUUUAUAAUAAAUAAAUUGUAGUUUUAUUUAUUUAUUGCAUUAUUUAUUAUUGAACAUGUAUAUUAAAGUGCCUAUGAUCACUUGUAAUAAUAUAAGUUGGAUACUUGCGUUGAGAAGUACAAUGUGACACAACUUAUAUUUUGAUCAUAAAUAAUUUGUUUACAACCAAUGUACAAAGGUUGGCACCUUGUACAUGAAGAUUGUGGUGUUGGUUGAUUCACUAUUCAGAUUUGUGAUUUGUUCUUAUAACAGAAAUUGUUAAAGGUGACACUAGUACACUUGGAGUGUAUUGAAUAGACCGCAUGUCGAAUUUAGUUUUAUAGCAUGAUCGUGCGGAGAAUUAAAUUUCAUUAGAGAGCUGGGUAUUUCAUCUAAAUCCCUUGACAUGAUUAUGUAUAUCUUUUCAUGAUUCUUUGAUUUAUUAAUGGACGAGAUCAAUUUGAUUGGUCAAAUAUCUCAAUGAGUUGAGAACUGGAGAAUGAGCGGAGUAGAGAACAUGAAUUAAUGUCGGGGAUCGUCAUCCUGAAAAAUGAGUAGAGUGACUAUUUAAGUAUUUUUUAUUGAACGGUUAAAAUCUGAGCUCAGUAUUUAGUGACGGCUAAAAUUCGACAUCUGUGAUUAGUUCACAGGACCGUUGAAGAAAAUGGAACUUAAGUUAAUAAGAAUAAUUAAAGGGGCAAAACGGUUAUUUAUGCUCAGACCUAAUUAUCGAAUCUCAAACAGGGAUAAAAUACACAUAUGGCAGGUCAGAUGAAAGUAUUAUAGACUGUGAUCUUAUAUAUUUCGAGAGUUCUGUCUUUUGCCUUUAGUGGAAAAAACAAAGACUGGUUAUUAGAUUGGGUGAUCUAGGGCUACUAGACAUGAUAUAAUUAUUGGAACUUGUAUAAUAUAUGUCUGAUCAUCUCCCUGUGGUAGCUUCAUGAAGUAUUUGAACUUAAUUACGAUAAUUAUAAUAGUUUUGGCUUUAAUUUUAAUUACAAUAAAGUUUUGUACUUAGUUGUAAUUACUAUGAAAGUUGUAAACUUAAUUAUAAUUGUGAUUUAAUUUCUAGUACUACACAUGUAAUUAAUUGGAUUUGGAUUUUAAUUAAAACACCUACUUGAAUUUUAAUUUAUUUGAAUGUGGAAUUAUUAUUGCAUAAGGAUUGAAACUCUUCUAUCUCUAUAAAUAAAGAUUAGAUGAAAUCUAGACAUUCUAAUGAAAUUGUACAACAUUCAUAAUACAUAAUUUUAUGGUAUUCAAAUUUUGGAGGAAAAUGGAAAGGAAAAAAAUAUUUUUUGUUGAUAUUUUCAAUUGUUCAGUUUAAGAAUUAGUUUAUUGAUUUAAUUAAAAGAAGGUACACACCCAACGGUGUAGUCUUGACUUUGAAAAAUACCACAGAAGAAUUUGAGGUUUAAAACAUCAAGUUAUUAGAAUUAAAAGGCUAGAAGUUCAUGAUUCAGAAUUUACUCAAGAAUUGAUUAUUGAAUUUAGGUAAAAAUUCGAAUUCUUUCUUUUUUAUAUAACACUAGUCACUAUGACGUGCGUUACACAAAUUUUGUGUUUAUCGUAUUUUUAAUAGUGUAUAAAUUUUAAUUUUUUUUGGAAAGUUUUUGAAGCAAUAUCUAAAAAUAUUUUCAUGAUAUAAGAAAAUAAUUAUAAAUUAUUUUUACAAUUGUAUAGCAGUAUGUUAUUUAGAAAAAAUAUGCUUGUAUAUUUCAUACUUAAAUAAAAAAUAUACAAAUUAUUUUGCUUGUAUUAUUUGAUAGUGUUGAUAUAAUUGAAUUGAAUGUGAAGAUUAUAUUUCUAAUUUUUGUGUCAUUCAAUAUUGUAAAAUUGAAAAAAAAAACUCUCUGCACAGUGCGGAGAGAGUUGAAUCAAGUGCAGAGUAAAAAUAAAAAAUAAAAAAAAGGUGCGGAGAGAAAAAAAUCUCUUCACACAGUGCAAAAAGAGUUGAACCAUGUGCGAAGAGUUGGAAAACUCUUUGCAUAGUGCGAAGUAAAAAAAAACUCUCCGCACUGUGCGAAACUGUGCAGAGAGAGUUAAUCUUUUCGCACAGUGCGGAGAGUUAGUCCGCACCAUGACAAAACGCUUUGCACAGUGCAUAGAGAGUUGAACCAUGUGUGGAGUAAAAAAAGUGCGGAGAGAAAAAAAUCUCUCCGUGUAGUGCGGAUAGAGUUGAACCAUGAGUGGAGAGUUGGCAACUUUUCACACAGUGUGAAAUAAAAAAAACUCUCCGCACAGUACAUAGAAAAAGAAACUCUCCGCACUGUGCGGAGAGUUGUUUUCGUAUUUUUUAAUUACAAGUCAAAUUUCAAGAUUAUAAAUUUUUCGUGUAUACAAUGAAACAGAGUCGAACAACAUGGCUCAAAAUCAAUUAUGUAUUCUUUAAAUUUCAGUCACAGCUUAAUAUCUGAGCAUGUAAAUCAUAUUUACAGUAUUGGAAAGGAGCUUUCUCGUGAUUCAUAUAAUGAAACAAUAUGUGAAUUGUAAAAAGAAGGGGAUAUUGAUAGUACCAUGGCAUUACUUUCACAAAUGGAGGCUCUAGGGUACCAUCAAAAUUUAAUAUUUUAUAUUUGUUUGAUAACAGCUCUUGGAAAUUAGAAGCAGAUACAAUUUUCAAUGAAAUUAUAUUUUCGGGUUGUAGGGCAGGAAUUAAAGUGUUCAAUGCAUUGUUCAAAAGUUGUUUGAGAAAAGGCCUUUUGGAACUUGCAGAUAAAAUCCCGAGAGUUUUUGUUUUUCUUUUCAUGCUGUGUGGAGAGAUCGUUUGCCAUCUCUUCGUACUUUGCGGAGUCUUUUUUUUCCUCAUGUGUGGAGUUUUUUUUUCUCAUAGAGUUUAUAUAUACUAAAAUUUUUUUUUUUUUUUUUUGUUGUUAGCAUGAUGCGUGUGUGGAAGAAUAUUUGUCAAUCAUCAUAAACAAAAUUCUUCACAAAAUACAAAAAAUAAAAAUGCAUAAUAAAUCUUCUUAUUACACUAAUAAAAUUACAAUAAAUUUUUUUUUACAAAUAGCAUAAAAAAAAUUAUUUUUAUCUUCAACAAAAAAAUACAUUUAAAAAUUAGCAAUUUUAUAACGAUUUUUUUUUAAUUCUCUGAAAUACAAUUAUAAAGAGAAACAAUAUUGAAUUACAACAUUUAAUACUUAAGAAAUUUAACAUUAAAUAAAUUUUAUGCAUUUAUAACAAAUUAUAAAUUCAUAUAUGCAGCUUACCGUAUUUGCAGGUAACUUACCAUAUAUACUGUCUACCAUAUUUGCAGCUGACCGUAUUUGUAGCAUACCGCAUUUGCAAAACAACUUACCGUAUUUGCACAUUACUGUAUAUGUUGCCUACCGUAUUUGUAGCUUACCGUAUUUGCAGCUUACCGUAUAUGCUGCCUAUCGUAUUUACAAUUUAUUGUAUAUGCUGCCUACUUUAUUUGUAGUUUAAUGUAUUUUUAUAUACUGAUUUUUACACUUACAAAUACUGAGAAUGCAGAAUAUCGUACAUUCACUUACCAAACCGAAUUUCAAAAAAAUUUCCAGAUUUUUAUUUUUUCAACAUAAGCAUAAAAUAAAUAUUAAAUAUAUAUGAAACACAAAAUAUAAAUGCAUAUAAAUAUGGUGCUCAAUUUUCAAUUUUUCAAUAUUGAAUUACAUAAAAUUUAGAAAUAUAAUAUUCACAUUUAACUCAAUCAUAUCAACACUAUCAAAGAAUACAAGCAAAAUAAUUUGUAUAAUCUCGUAUAUUUCUUAUUCAAAUAUGAAAUAUACAAGUAUAUUUUUUUAGAUGACAUAAUAAUGUUAUGUAAUUGUAAAAAUAAUUUACAAUUAUUUUUUUAUAUUAUGAAAAUAUUUCUAGAUAUUGUUUAAAAAUUUUUCCAAAAAACUAAAAUUCAUACACUAAUAAAAAUACGAUAACAGUCACUGUGCAGAGAUUUUUUUUUACUCCGCACUGUAUGGAGAGUUCGCAUAGAAUGUCAUAUCUCUACGCCGUGCGAAGAGAAUUUUUUUUUAUUUCGCACUGUACGGAGAGUUGAAAAACUCUUUGCAUUGUGCGGAGAGUUUAUUAUUAUUUUUUUUAAAUCUCAUGUGCAAAGAGUUUUUUUUCCUCAUGGCAGUUUAUAUUUACUAAAAUUAUUAUUAUUUUUUUAAUGCUAGUGGCAUGAUGUGUGGAAAAAUAUUUAUUUGACAUAAUUAUUUUUUUAAUGCUAGUGAAAUGAUGUGUGGAAGAUCAUUUGUUUGACAUGAACAAAAUGGAAAAUAAAAAACGAAAUCAUGCAUAGUAAAAUUGGAUUCAUUUACUAUUGCAUGAACAGUAAACCCUCAUUCCCAUUUUUAUUAGAAGUUAGAUACACGUGAAUAUCUUAACGAAUUUUUUUAUUGAAUUAAGAUUUUUUUUUUUUUAAUUUCUAGAUAAUUCCACUUCCACAUUCCAAGAACAUUGGCGGUAGUACCAUGUGAAUCCUUUAUAUUUGCAGACCAUCUGCGGUCUGUCCAAUGGCGUUUGUCUCACUCAUAUGUAUCUUGUUCUUCUAUCUUUUGUUUCUUCGUCACACAAUUCUAUUUGUGGAGUUUUUGCUCGGAGGUGUCGGGCAGCGACGGUAGGUUCUGCUAUAUUUCUUCUCCUCUCGCUCUGGAAUGAAAAUAGAACAAAAUUAUUGUUGUAGACUUCUUGUUGGUGUAUAUACAUUAUACACAACUGUAAAUUAAUUAUUGUUGAUGGAGAUGGACAGUCAAAACAGAGGGCCGGCAGCAAGUUUAUAACAUUUUCUGGGGAAAAUUGAGUUUUUCUAUGUUACCUCUAAACUUGGCAACGACGUCCUCAGCAAUGUCAAAUGUUUCGAACCAAACUCUCUUAUGUGUGUGUGAAUCCUUUAUUUUUGCUAUCCAUCUACUGAUGAUUUCUGUCUCGCUCUAUAUCUUAUUCUCUCUCUUGUUUCGUCCCCAUGACAUUGAUACCUCUAAACCUGGCGAUGGCGACGGCCAACGUAGGUUCUGCAAUAUUUUUUCGUCUCUGACUCUGGGAAAUUUUAUAUAGCCCCCGUUUGAUUCUCAUUUUUUGAUCACCAAUAUGAAAAAUAUGAUUGUUACACAAUAUUUGACUUUCUAUCUCUUAUGUGAGUUCUAUAAUAACUAUAUUUUUUAUUCUCAUUUUUUUGAAAAUGGGAAUCAAAUGGGGCAUACAAAGUAACUGUUGCAAAUUACUCCUUGUUCUCUACUUUUUCUAAUAUUUGUUCAAAAUUUUGAAGUCUAUGUAGAAAUCAAUGCUGCCAUUAUCCAAUGUGUUACCAAUUUAUCUCUCUUAUCUUUGCACGAAUUAUAAUUUUUUAACAUUCUUGACUAACAAAGAAAAAUCGAAAAUGUAUUUAAUGCAUUUAGACAAUCUAAUCAUCUCAUCAAUAUCGAUAAUAAUUUUGAUAUCGUUAAAAAUCACUUUAACUUGUGUUUAAUAUAAAAACCUGACAAACAUGCAACAAAACUGAAUGAACACGUUUAAGAAAUAUUUUAAGUGGAGAUAAAUUUCAUUUUGACCAAAAAAUAGUAGAUUAAUCCACGAGUAGCCAAAAUAUUCAAAUUGCUCCCUCUAACAUUGACUUUAUUUUUACCAUUUAUAUACAGUUAAAAACAUCACAAAAGACAACAAAUGUGAAACUAGAGAUUAUUUGGAAGGAAUUAGUACGAGCCAGACCUUCAAAGAGGCAUUGGGAGUGCUAGGGCCCACGCGCCCUACGAUAACUAUUAGGGAUUCCAUCAUAUUCAUAUAUACUGAAGUCCUUCACAGUUUACCGUAACGUUGUAUCAUUAACAUCAAUUUCCCUAUACGGGGGCGUGGGCUUCCUUCCGCCUUGCCUCCUUCGUAGACAACCUUGAAUAUCUAAACUGGGAGCUCAAGCCUCCGUCAUCGGUAAAUCGAUGCUUAGGGCUAGGUGGUACCAUCCAAGUCUAGUUCUCUCUGGGUUGGAAGGAGCAUUAUCAGACAAUCACUUAAUCACAAACUUCAUAUGGGACUAAGAAUCAAUGAAAGGACAUCAAUUCAAAGCCUGGAUUUUUGAAUUGAGAGAGAUAAAAAAUUCUCACUAUUUCUAAGAUUUAUAUAUCAUUAAUAUUCCUAGAAUGAAGAGAAAAUUAUUUCUUGAAUCAACGUAGAUGAGUUCUUCUUUCUUUUAUCACUUAGGAGCUAAUAAAGUUAUGUAGUGUCUCUUUAUUCUCUUUAGAGAAAAUUAUCUAAAAACCUACAUUUAAAGACUAAUUUUUAAAACUAGAGAAGGUUAAUUUUAAUUUCAAAAUUUAGGUGGUAAUUAGAUUUUAAUAAUUAUAAUUAAUAAGAAUUUAAUAAAACUUAAUCUACAUAUACCACCCAUACACUCUAGUGACUCCACCCCCAUUUCAAUUCAUUCCCAAAUUAUAAGUAACCCUAACCAUCUCUCUCUAUCAGCUUCUCGUUCUAUGCCAUCUCUCUCUCUUUCUCUCUCUCUACCAUAAGCCACCUAACCCUCUCCUUUUCUGACGCCACAAAGUUCACCGACCACCACGACCAAAGAAGCAACACAUCGACCACGGCUUCUCUUGCAACACCGCUUGCCGCUACUUGCAGAAGCAAUGGUGAAGACUGGUGAUGACUCGAGCCUUCUUAUCGAAGAUUUCUUCACUUAUCUAUCCUGUUUUACUUCGCUAGAAAACAAUCUGACUGCUCUCAUCGCUGGAGUAGUGGUGGUUUCUGGUAGUUUUUUAGGUAAUUUUUAGAUGGUUUUUAAGUUGAUUUUGCGAUGGUUUUGAGGUGGUGCUGGCAGUGUUUUUGAGGAAUACAUAAAAAUUACCAAAAUUCGACGUUGAUUUAUUGGAAUUCCCUUUAAAUUGGAAUAGAUGCAGUGGUGCUCAUGGUGGUGUUGGGGGUGCGAUGAUUUUCUGAUCUAUUGUUCUUUGGUGGUGAUGGUGUGUUGUGGCUUGAUAUUGAUCUAGUCACAGACAGCUACUCUGAAUAUAAUUUUGACCACAGUUAGUCACACCGAAGGUAAAGUUGGUCACAAUUAAUCACAUGUAUGCGGUGUGUGUAGAUUUGUUUGCGGUGACCCUAUACGACCAAGUAUGUGUUUGUGACCAAUUUUGUAUUGAUUGUGACCAGUUGUGACUUGAGAUUGGUAUAGUCACAGACAGUCACACUAAAUACAAAUUUGGUCACAAUUAGUCACAAACGACACAAGUAAGGUCACAGAUGUCACAGGUGCAAAUCUGAUCACUUACAAUACACCAUUACGACCACCACAGUUUUUUGGAGAUUUUUCAACAGUGGGGUAUAGAGAGAGAAAUUGUUUUCAAAUUUUGGAGAUUUUUCUAAUGGCGAGCCAGAGUAAUGUUUGGAAUAGUUAUCAGAGUAGGUGCUGAAGUGGUCAUUGGGGCAGUUUGUUGGAGUGGUCGUCAGAGUAGUUUGUCGAGGUGAUCGCUGAAAUAUUUGUCGGAGUGAUCACCGGAACAGUCGUCAGAGAUGAUAGCCAUCUCUGGUGGAGGGGUGGAGGAAGGGUGGUGUAAUGGGGUGAUAGGAUAAGGUGGAUGGCAUGUGUGUAAAUAAUUAAUGAAUAUUAUAUUAUAAUUCAAUAUUUAAUAAAACCACCUGAUUUCUGAAAUAUUUGAUUGAGUUUGUUAUUUAUGAAAUGUGAUCUUUAAAACUAUGACUUAUGUGGUCUUCCCUUCUCUUUAUCUUUGAUAAAGAGGUAUUUUCUGUGGAUUUGUAUCGUAUUCAUACAGGGCUGGCCCUGGCCCAAGGCACACAAGGCCACUGCCUUAGGCCUCGAUUUUAAGGGGACCUCUUAAAAAAACUUUGGCCCAAAACCUAUAUCAAUACAAAACCCUCAAAAUCCCAAAAAAAUAAAAUAAAAAUAAAUAAUUAUGAAUGGCCGUUCAAAACGUGAGAGUUGAGACUUGAGAAGAGAGAAGCUGAAAAUACAAUCUUCACUACCAAUUGGUCAUUUGACAAUCCCUGAAGAAUACCAGCAAAAACUCCGGAUUGGGAUAGCAAAAGCUCCGGAUUUGGAUAGCGAAUCGGAUAGUGAAGGCUCGACUUCGCGCCGGUGCAGGAGAAAGAGAUCGGAUAGAAUGAUCAAAAGGUACAACACUUCAUCUUCUUUAAGUAGUAUUGCUGCUAAUUUGUCAUCCUGCAUUUUUGAGAUUGAUCAGUAAGAACAAGAAGAGGUUGCCAUUAGUUUUAUUAUGCUUUCAAGGGAUGUUUCGAAUCGGAGUAUUAAUGUAUCAUGAAUUCUGUUCUCGAUCAAUCCUCUGAAAAUAUUUCUAACUUUUUAGAUUCGAACAAAAUUACUCUACUGAAAUCAAAGAAACCCAAGUCUGAUGAGGAAAAUUUCGGAUUCAAAACUCCUGUUAUUCCAAUAAAUGGCCUCAAAAUGAGCAAAUCUCAGGUUUUCACAUAUGGGUUUCUUGAGAAAAAGAAUCUCGAUAAUGAGUCUCGCCCAAGAAAUUUGAUCAAAAAAGCAGAUCGGAAAAGUUUGAUAUAGAUUCUAAUAGGAAGAACAAGUUAAGCAAGAGAAAGUGCAGGGGUUUAUAUGAUCCUCAGUUGAGUGUGCCUGAGAAUUUUCAAGAAAAAGUUGCUUAUUUUGGUAUUCCGAUUAUGUAUUCUGUGAGAAAAAGCCAAAAUUUGAGUGCACAAAUUGCCACAAGGCCUUUUCUUCUUAUCAAGCACUUGAGGAAAAUAAAGAAGAAGAGGCGGCCAAUUGUUUGAAGAUGUUUUGCCGACGUUGAAAGUUGAAUAGCUAUAUAUACACAAAACUGAAAAAUUUAUGCUUGUGAUUGUGAGCCACUGGGCCUAAGAAUUUAUACCUAAUCUCUCAAGUUGUGAGGGAGGUUUUAUUUUGGUAAUCUAUUUUUUGAAUUGUAUAAAGUCUUUUUUGAAAUAUAAAGGUGUUAAUUAUUUUUAAAUAUUAUUAUACUUGUAAAAUAAAAUAUUAUGUUAAACAACCUCAUAAUAAUUAAUCGGGGUGUCUAAAUUCUCGGGCCUGCCCUUUAUUAGUGUUAAUACAGUUGUAGGUUUAAUGGUUGCUAUGUCAAAUAUGGAGUCUAUCAAGUUAACAAAGUGAAUAAUUAUAUGUCGGUAUUUAACUUUAGCAACUAAGCUGUUGUUUGAUAAUCAUUAUUUUGAAAAAAAUGAUUGCUUUGAAAUUUUUCUUGAACUUCAAUGACAAUUUUCAAGAUUAACCCAGUUUUACCUAUAGAGAAAUUUCAACAUUAGUCACUUCAUUUUUUUCCAAUCUUCGGGGUUAAUAUAUGGGGCUUUCAUUUAAAAAGCAUAGUCAAACAAAACAUUAGUUUAAAAAGUCCACAAACUAAGUUCGUUGGGUAAAAGGCCUAAAGAUAUGGAAAAUGAAAAAUAUAAUUUGUAAAUGACUAAAAUGACCUUACAUACAAAAAAGACAUUGCUGCCUUAAUUUCCAUUUUAAUUCCCAUUUGACCCUAAUUAAAUUCUACCUUCCUUCCAUUUGCUCUUCAAAAUCGACUGUAGAGGUAUGUAAUUUCUUUCUUUGUCAUCAUCAUUUUUCUCUACUUAAUGAAACCUUAAACUCUACAUUUCAUUUUCCUUGAACACUCAUUUGAUUGAAGUGAGUAAUAAAAUCUUGCAAUAUUAUUGUUGGGCAUUUGGAGAAGAAGGAAGUGUUGUAAUUUUCAAUUUUUUGGUUAGUUUCUUUGUCCAUUUUUUGAAUAAUUUCUUCAUGUUGUUAUAUAUAUGUUUAUGAUUUUUAUUUGAGAACAAUGAUUUUGAAUUAAUUUUAUCAUUAUAUUAGAGUUUUGAUAUGGGUUACUCUCAAACCCUUUUUCUCAUUUCUCAUCAUCUGUAUCAGUUAGAGUAAAAUGUAAGUUUGCAAAGGCAUGUUUGGCUAUUCUUUUUAUUAACAUACAUUUAAUUUUGGUCUGUACAUAACAACUUAUAUGUCGUUUUCUGCAAUCCAUAAUGACUUACAUAUCGUUAUUAGUACUGUACAAUGUUUGAAAUGUGAUGAAAUUUUUAUAUUGAAUUACAGUUAUGGACAAUCCGAAUAUGGUAUGGAUAUCAGUUUGUUUUCCAGUUGAAUAUGAGUAGUCGAUUGAAUGUGUUUUAAAAUGAAAAUAUGCAGGGAAUGGCAAAUAAAAACAACUCCUAUUUUUGUUGCGAAAAUUAUUUCUUAUAUGGAAUUAUAUGAUAAAAUCAAAGGGGCGUUGAACAUCAAUUCACAACUUUUUCAGAAUUUAAUUGGAAAAAUUGAAUGAUUAAAUAAUCAAUUCACAACCUCAAAUGGUUACGAGUAGAGUCAUAAGAUAUCAAUGGAUUGUAUGCUUUUAUUCCCAAAUAAGAUGGAAUAAACCAAUACCUUGAAAUAGAAACCAGUACCUUGGCUUUGUUGGAGCAUACUCUUUUAUUAUUUCAUUUAUAUUUAUAAUGGAUAAUUGAUUUGGAAUUAUUUCCUGCAAAUUACAUAAUCAUCAUGUGUGUUAUCUUGCUCAUUUACUUGCUUUCAAUAUAAAGAUUCAGAAACUUGGAUGUUUACUUUGUGAUUUUGUACUGCAACUCUCUUGAGGGACAUGCUUACUCAACUUUUCUCUAACAGAAAUUGAACAUAGCAGGUCAAAUACUAUGUCAGUCUUUUCCAUUUUCGACCCAAAGAAAAAUGGGGAACAUCAUUUUUUUUUUCCUUUUUUCUUUAGGUGCUACUGAUGAUGAUUGUUUUACAUAGAAAUAUAUGGUCCAGCAUUUUAAGCAAUUAUCCUUUAAUUUCAUCAAGAUGUAGGUCGAAAGUGUAUGUAUAUAUGUGUGUACGAUAAAAACUAUAAUGUAAUGGCUGACUUAUAUGCUAUGUGAACUUCCUGGUUUAUCAUCAUAAUUCAUAAUCCAAGUUCAUAAGUUUGUGACAGUGCUGAGAUUAUAAAUUAUCAAAAUUAUUCAAUGGAUCCAUAAAUACUAUAUUAAUCGAUCGUUCAUUUUUAUUUUUAUAAUUUUUUUCCAAAACAUUCUUGAUUCUUGAAGUUCUCGAGUAAUAAUUGUCUGAGACUAAGGUUGUAAUAUUUUUUUGACUUGUAACUUUAUAAUUUUGUGCUUAUUCGAAGCACAAGAUGAUUUAUUAAAUUUUGUAAUCAUUGUGCUAUUGAAAUGCUUUUGCACUAUUGAAAUGCAAACGGCGUUCAUAUAGUUACAAUUGAUGUAAAUGCAAUCAAUCUAAUAACGAUAUAUAUUUUCUUCCUUCUGAAAAAAAGUGUUUAAGAUCGUUGCGAUACAAAACUGUAUUAGUUUUAAUUAUGACAUUGAAGUCGUUCUUGAAGUACAAAACGAUAUAGAUGCCGUUCAAAUAAAAAAAAGUAGAGUGAAUAACAUAACGAUAUUGAAACCGUUCCUGUAAUAAAAAAUGAUUUCUAUAUCGUUUCAGUAUGGAAUACACACUGCUUAACUUAUUUUGGUAAUGACAUAAAAGUCGUUAUGACUAUACAUAAGCGAUAUAUAAGUCGUUCUAGUACAAAAAUGCAUUCAUUCUAAGAAUGACAUGGAAGUCGUUCCUGAAAGUCAAAACGAUAUAGAUGUCCUUCCAAUAAAAAAAGCACACUGAACAACAUAACGAUAUUGAAGGCAUGAUGGGUAGUUGUGGACGGUCAAACCUACUUUUAGCUAGAACGAUAUAAUUAUCGUUUUAUAUGAAAAGAAACGGUAUCUAUGUCGUUAUACUUGUAAUUUAAAUUGAAAUGAUUUCAAAUUAUUCAAAUUUGUACUAAAACGAUAUAAAUGUCGUUACCUUAUUUGUGAUUUUAUGCAUAACGAUAUCAAUAUCGUUUUAAUACAAAUUUGACGACGUUGAUAUUGUUUUAGUUUAAAUCAUAACUAAAACUACACGCAUAUCGUUUCAGUUAAAACAAAACGAUACUUAUAUCGUUUUUGCUAAAAAUAAUGAUUUGACCGUCCACGACCACCGAACAUGCAUUUGACAUAUGGAGGAUGAUCAAAAUAGCUAAUCAAGUGGGUUCGAUCUCCCUUAAAAGAAACUAUGAGAACAUUUUUGUUCUCAUGAUUGUAUACCAUCUUCAAACUAUUCAGACAGAAAGUAUUUUCGUUUGUUCUUUCCAAGUCAUUCGAGUGGUAUCAACCCACUUGAUGACCUCUUUCGAUCGUCCUACGUAUCCUAAAUGUAUGAUGGGUGGUUGUGGACGGCCGAAUCGUUAUUUUUAUUCAGAACGAUAUAAUUAUCGUUUUAUAUGAAAAGAAACGAUAUCUACGUCGUUAUAUUUGUGAUUUGAAUUGGAACGAUAUUCAAACUUGUCGAAUUUGUACUAAAAUGAUAUGAAUGUCGUUAAUUUGUGAUUUUGAGACAUAACGAUAUCAAUAUCGUUUUAAUACAAUUUUGACGACGUUGAUAUCGUUUUAGUUUAAAUCAAAACUAAAACUACACGCAUAUCGUUUCAGUUAAAAUAAAACGAUACUUAUAUCGUUUUUGCUAAAAAUAAUGAUUCGACCGUCCACGACCACCGAACAUGCAUCUGACAUAUGUAGGAUGAUCAAAAUAUGUAAUCAAGUGGGUUCGAUCUCUCUUAAAAAAAACUAUGAGAAUAUUUUUGUUCUCAUGAUUGUAUACCAUUUUCAAACUAUUCCGACAGAAAGUAUUUUCGUUUGCUCUUUCUAAGUCAUUCGAGUGGUAUCAACCCACUUGAUGACCUCUUUCGAUCGCCCUACGUAUUCUAAAGAUAUGAUGGGUGGUUGUGGAAGGUCAAAUCGUUAUUUUUAUUCAGAGCGAUAUAAUUAUCGUUUUAUAUGAAAAGAAACGAUAUCUACGUCGUUAUACUUGUGAUUUGAAUUGGAACGAUUUCAAACUCAUCAAAUUUGUACUAAAACGAUAUGAAUGUCGUUACUUUAUUUAUGAUUUUGAUACAUAUCGAUAUCAAUAUCGUUUCAAUACAAUUUUGACGAUGUUGAUAUCGUUUUAGUUUAAAUCAUAACUAAAACUACACACAUAUCGUUUCAGUUAAAAUAAAACGAUAAUUAUAUCGUUUUUGCUAAAAAUAAUGAUUUGACCAUCCACGACCACUAGACAUUUAUCUGACAUAUGUAGGAUAAUCAAAAUAGAUAAUUAAGUGGGUUCGAUCUCCCUCAAAAGAAACUAUGAGAACAUUUUUGUUCUCACUAUUGUAUACCACCUUCUAACUAUUCUGACAGAAGUAUCUUCGUUUGCUCUUUCUAAGUCAUUCAAGUGGUAUCAACCCACUUGAUGACCUCUUUUGAUCGUCCUAUGUAUCCUAAAGGUAUGAUGGGUGGUUGUGGACAACCGAAUCGUUAUUUUUAUCCAGAACGAUAUAAUUAUCGUUUUAUAUGAAAAGAAACGAUAUCUACGUCGUUAUACUUGUAAUUUGAAUUGGAACGAUUUCAAACUCGUCAAAUUUGUACUAAAAAGAUAUGAAUGUCGUUACUUUAUUUGUGAUUUUAUAUUGUUUCAAUAUAAUUUUGACGACGUUGAUAUCGUUUUAACUUAAAUCAUAACAAAAACUACAUACAUAUCGUUUUCAGUUAAAAUAAAACGACAAUUAUAUUGUUUAUGCUAAAAAUAACGAUUCGACUAUCGAUGACCACCAGUCGUGUAUCUGACAUAUGUAGGAUGAUAAAAAUAGAUAAUCAAGUGGGUUUGAUCUCCCUUAAAAGAAACUAUGAGAACAUUUUUGUUCUAGUGAUUGUAUACCACCUUCGAACUAUUCAAACAAAAGUAUUUUUGUUCACUCUUUUUAAGUCAUUCGAACUCUAUCAUUCCACUUAAUGAUAUUUUUAGAUCGUUCUAUGUAUGUUGAAGGUAUAAUAGGUGAUUGUAAACGGUCGAAUCUUUAUAUUUAGUUAGAACGAUAUAAAUAUUGUUUUUUAUGAAAAUAAAUGAUAUCUAUGUUAUUAUCAUUGUGAUUUGAAUUGGAAUGAUUUCAAACUCAUUAAAUUUGUACCAUGACGAUUUAAAUGUCGUUGUCUUAUUUUGUGGGUUUGAUACAUAACGAUACUAUUAUCGUUUCAGUACAAUUUUGAUAACAUUGAUAUUGCUUUAAUUUAAAUUUUAACUAAAACGAUAAUUAUAAAAACGACAAUUCGAUCGUCCACGAUCAAUUAUAUUUAAUAUCGUAGUUAUAAAGUUCUAGUGUAAUCACUUCUGAAACAAUAUAUAUGACAUUAUAGUUACGAUUGAAUAUGAACGAUAUCAUUGUCGUCAAAAAUUGUAUUGAAACGACAUAAACGUUAUUUACUUAUUCCAUAACGUGCGCUUAAAUCUGUUAAACAGUGAAGUAAUGUGUAUUCGAUAUCGGAACGACAUAUACAUCGUUUUUUGUACUUCAGGAACGAGUUCAAUGUCGUUAUACAAAUCAGUUAAGCAGAGUGUAUUGAUGCUGAAACGAUAUCAAAGUCGUUUUAUAUUUCAGGAACGAUUUCAAUGUCUUAUGCAAAUCAGUGAAACAGUGUCAGCAGCUCAUUUCCAUUCCACAUUUUUAUUAAGUUGAUAAGUUAUAUUUUACGAUUUCUUCAAACUGCAAUAUCUUCGUGCUGACUUAACCGAAUCGAUUUUUUCUCGAGUCGAAUAGUUCUUAUUAAUUACAAGCUUUAAAAUGAGUACAAAUCGAUAUACUGCAUCACUUUUUAUUAAAAUCUAAUUAUUGGACUUUAAAUAAGAUAUAAAUUUAAAAAAUAUUUUUUUGUCCAUUUUUUUCUAAAAUAUAAAGAUAAAUUUAUUUUAAAAAAUUUCUUGUGUUAUAAUAUGUGUCUAAUGAAUAAAUAACUCGAUAAUUAUUUUCAACUAGUUGCUAAGUUGUGGACAAUGUUAAAACUUUGAUUGCACUGGAGAUCAAUUACGAAAAAGAGAUGAUCUGAAACUUAAAAAGGAGAGUUCGAAUUCUAAGAAGAAGAUGAUUUUGAAAAGGAAAAUUUUUUGAAUUUAAAGAAAGAGAAUGUUGUGUGUGUUAGAACAUAAAUGCAUAAUUAUUAGAGCCAACCUGAUGAUCAACUAAAAAAAACCACUGGAUCAAUGGUUCAAUCGGUGGUUAUUGUUAAAUUUUAAUUUUAAUUUUAAUUAAAAUUUAUUUUUGAAGUGAGAAUAAAACAAUUUUUUGAAAUGUAAUAUAUAUAUGUUUUGCUCAUAGGAAACAAAGGACCAUCAUUUACCUUAAUGGUUGUGAAGUUAAAAUAAUUUUUUGCAUUCCAAAGUUCAAAUCAUGGUUCCAACAAAUUUAAAAAAAAACUCAAUUUUUUCUUCAUUUUUAUUUUACAAGUUAAAGAUAAAGAAGUCUCUCGACAUUUUUAAAUAAUUAAAACUCUUUUUAUUUUUAUAAGUUUGGUCAAACGCAAAUUGAGCAAAAUGUACAUUAAAUGACCUUCCCAACUCAUUUCCCCUUCGUAUAUGAUAGUAAACAUUCAGGGCCCAUCCGUAUCAAAGAAGUGAAGAUACGUAAAAGAAAUCCCAGAAAAUGAAGAAAAUUGUUUCAGAUGAAUCGAGCUCGAAGAAUUCACAUGGAGACGGGGCUGCAAAUAUAUCGCACACUUUUAAAUACUUAUUUGGUUAGUUAUUUUUUUAAGCGCUCUGCAAUUAUACGAUCCACUUUAUGCCUAAAUUUUCUCUAUCUAAAUUAAUGUGUUAAAAUAUGUGUAUGUAUAGCUACGCAGUUCUUGUCAAGAGGAAUCCCUUUCAUAUUUAAUUCGUGGAUUAUCAGGCACCUCACCGAAGAAGAAUAUGCGGUAAGUUGUUUUUUUUUUUUUUUUGUUAAGCACCCUCUUUUUCUUUUUUUGAAGUUUUCCAGUGGGUAUUGAGAUGGUAGAUGUAAAACUGGAAAAAUAAGAGGGGAAAAUGUAAAUUUUGGAUGAUUUUGUGUGUCAAAAAGUUAAAAGUAAUAAUACAUGUUGGGGGAGCAUAAACCAUUGUGCCAUAUUUAACAUAUUAUUGUGCCUCUUAGUUGGAAUUCUGAAAAAUUACGUUUUGAAAAUCUGUUCUCAAAUGUAUGUAGUAUUACAAUAAAUUUUCAUCGCUGACUUUGUUGCUUGACCAUAUAGUGUGUCAUGGGAUUUUUGGACAGUGUUAGGGGAAUAUCAGAGUCUUAUUUUAAAUUUAGACUUGGGGUUUUUACUUGUGUACAGUUAAAGGGUUGUCUAAUGCCUUCAAUAACAUCUGAAAAGUGUCAGUGUCCUGUGUAUACUUAUAUGCUUCUUUGUUGUGUGUUGCUCGAUCAUAGGUGUUAAAACUAAACUAUAUUUUCCAUGGUUUUUGUUUUUUCGAAGUAUGACUUAACAAUUGUAAUAUAAUGGUGUAAUUUUCAUGUAGUUUCUUUGACUGUUUCUUAUGUUUGUAUUUCCUGUUGUCAUCUGACACAUCACAUUCCUAUACAUAAUGCAGUUGUAUGCUGUACAAUUCCAUCUGUUUGUCACCUGUAUCUUGUUCCUCAGUCGAGAAGGAUUUCGGCGAGCAUGCAUGAGAGCAGUUAUAAAAUGGUAUUUUCAAAUGUCUCUUUUGAUCCAAAAUCCUGAGUAUCUAUUCCUUGUAUAUUAUUUUUAUAGUUGUCCAAACACUGGCUUAGUCUAACCAAUUGGAUUUAAGUUUCUUCUUUUGUUUACUCACCCAGUUAUUGGUCGAGUUCAAUUUAUUCGUUGUCAUGAAGUUUCUGGCUUUCCGCUAUGCUAAUUGUUUUUCUAAUAUAUUUUCAUACGUCACAUGCUUAAAAUAUACGAAGUUAUUUUUAUCUUUUUAAAACAGACAAGAUUCUCGAUUCAUAUUCAAUUUCAGAUCUGGUUUCCAUUAUUCUUGUCAAAUUUUCAUUUAUCUUAUCUUAUGCUGGUUAUGGUCUAUCUUAAUAUAUAAUGCAGAAAUACAUAAUGACGUGUGGUUGUGUUGUUCCUAUGCAUAUUCAACAAUCUAAAUAACUGUGCCUGCUUAUCAUUUUAGUACUUCUAUUUUGAUAAUCUUCUGAUGGAUGUCUUGGAAAAUGCAAAACUGUCACACGCCAUUUGUGCGUUUUGAUUUUCGAAGUAUGAAUCUCAAAGAUGAUUUUGUGAUAUCUUGCAGUAAUGAUGCUUCAACAACGAGAGAAAAUGCAGCAAAACUUUUGAAAGUUGCCUGGCUGACAUUUCCUAUGGGAAUAAUUAUUACACUUGCAGCAUGUGUAUAUGUAUUCUGGUUGAAAGGUCUAAGUUAUUCUAGUCCAUAUGCCCAGAGUAUCUUGAUUCACGGUAUGCUAAUACGUCAAAUACCAAACUUUUCAAAUUCAGUUCCAUGCUGCUAGAGCCAGUCCACUUGCUGAGGGAAAAUCUUCGGCUUUAAACUUGUGGACAAAUAUGGAGGUGUGGAGGGAAAUAAGAACUACCAACAUUCUGAAAAAAAGCCACAUUAGAAAUUUUCGUACUGCAAGGGGCCAGGUGGCACCAAAUGCAAUUCUAGAAAAGUCAUUCCAGUGGGUGGGAGGCAUGUAAGAAAUAUUACAAGUCUAAAACACGAGGCUGGGUGGUGUGUGGGUGGGUAUGGAUAGGCAUUGAACUUGGUUUUUAGGUAGUUUCCCUUGGUGCACAACAAACUGGAGAUCGACAUUUGUGUCAUCACACAUCAAAUAGAUGUUGAUGUGUUGUGUUGUAAUGCUUGAAGAUGCAGAGACGUUCAUUCUUAGGGUGUUGUGUUUCCUAUAUGUUUAACCUCCAAUAAAGACUCUUGAUGUCUGGUUUGUUCAUACAUAUGCAGGUUUUGCAUGUGUACUUGAACUACUAGCGGAACCCCUUUAUAUCUUGUCUCAAAACAUGCUGCUUCUCAGACUGCGGCUGGUUGUUGAAAGUGCAGCUACUCUUUCGCGUUGUAUAACGACGUAUAUCCUCAUACUAAAGCAAUCUAGCAUGGUAAAUAGAAGAUUUACACUUUCAUUUUAAUUUUUGUGCGUAAUGGUGACUUUUGGAACUUUCAUUAGUAACGUUUAGGUUUCAAGCAUAUCUAUAUUAUAAGCUUUAAAGCAUGGACAGAACUUCUUAGGAGUUCUUGUUAGAGUGGAGGCAUGGGGUUGGAUAAAGAUUGUCACAUUACUUGUCAUUAGUUGGGGGCACAUAAUGGGAUAGCUUGGAGCAGUAUUUGAACUUCUAGACAAUCAGUUAUGAAUUUUACAAAAAAUUAAUGGCACAGAAUGAGGUUUUGACCUUUCAUUGUGAAAGGUCAGAAGCCUACUAUUGUCAUUGUCGCUCAUCAUCGUCAUUCUCAUUGUUGCCACAAAAUACCGCUGAAUAAGCACUUUCUUUUCCUCGCUUCUUCUUCAAUGUCUGGGAGAGAGGGGUGGGAUGGAUUCUUCCAAUCACCUUAAAUGUCCUUUGGCAACCUUAUUGAAGCUUAUCAUUAUGUCCCAAUCACCUUGAAGAUUCUUCUCUUCUUUGUUUCUCGUGUUUUUUACUGAUUGGUUUUGAAUUCUACUCUCUACACAUGUUUGAAAGGAGAAUUCUAUUCCCUUGUGUUGAUUCUUCUUCGAUGGUACUCAUGAUUUUGCAUCUCUUCAUGCUUGUCCUCUGUUAUUUUGCAGCCUUAGUUACCCAAGUUUUGGUCUGGAGUUUUUUAACCAUUAUAUGAUGGACUGUAUUUUUUUAAUCUGAUUUUAAUGAAAUCAGUUUAUUAUGUUUGAUGUGUACUGGGCACGCUUCUAUCCUUCUUGACUACUUGUGAUUCCAUGCCACUUGUGGUUUAUCUCCCUUCAACAUCUCUAUUUGUGCAACAUUUGUACCACAAUCUGAGCAGCUUCCUAAUAUGAAAAUUUACUGUUUGCAGGAGAAAGAAAUUGUAUUUGCCUUGUCUCAAGUUGCAUAUGGAGCUUCAAUAUUCUUAGGUUAUUGGGGAUAUUUUCUUCUUUUUCGUGUAUCUGACACUUUUGACCUUUUUCCUUUCAGGUAUUAUUUUUUUUCAACCCUUGCUUGUUAUCUUUGCAACUUUACAUGGGACAAACAGUUCACUACAAUCAGAAAAUUUGAAAAAAGUGCUUAUUUCGUGAACAUUGUAGUAUUAGCAGUGUAGAAACUUUUUGUUGAUUUUCUCAUGCCUGAUGAACCUCCAUGAUAUUUUAAGUCUUCUUUGGUCCCCUUCUCAGAUGGUCUUAUCAUAUAGUGAUGGCGUUUAGUUUCCAUAUCAAUUUCUUUAAGUAAUAUGCUUCUUUUUAAGCUUUAAAUGUUACUAAAAAAACAACUGAUAUUCACAGUGUAGGGAACUUGAUGGAUUAUGAUAGGCCACUAACAAAUAUGUGUAAGUUGUUCACUCUUCAAUCUGUUCGAAAGUUGAUUCUUCAGGAAGGAGAAAAGAUGGUCCUUGUAUGGUUGGAUACACCAUAUAACCAAGCAGUAUAUGGAGUUGUAGAGAAACUAGGUUGGUAUUUCAUCAAUAAGCUUUUUGCUUAUAGUUAAUACAUUGCUUCACAAGAUAGCACGUUUCUGUGAGAAAGAUGCAAUUGUCUGAUAUGAGGCUCAAGUUUAAGUGUUUAAGCAUGUAAUUCGCUUUUCAGUUUGAAACUCAAAAAAUUUCUGAGUAUGCUAAAAUAGAUUAGGUUGGUGUUUCAGGGAGCUUAGUGGUUAGGCUGGUGUUUCUUCCAUUUGAAGAAAGUUCAUAUGCUACCUUUGCAAGGUCUGCAUCAGGUUUAUCCCUCGUCUUCUUGUUCUCUUAAUGAUGCUACAUUCCUUCUCUAUUUUCCUUGACUAUGAGUAGCUUAGGCAGUGGACGUCCCUCAAGAUUCUUACAUGAAUUGUUCCUUCUUAUUUUUCACUGCAUGCUACCCAAUGUUUAAAAAGGCUUCAUCGGUUACUGAGGCAUUUUCUCUGUGAGGCGAGGCAUUAGCCUCCAGAUAAAUCAAUAAAAGAUAAAAGAAUUAAUAAAAGUAUAAAAAUACCAAAAUAUGCUCGCAAUAUACCACGAACCCUUUCAAAAAAUUCAUAAGAAAGCCGAUUAACAAUAUUCAAAAAGUCUAACUUGCAAAUCAACAUAAAAUAGAUCAAGAAAAUAGAAAAUAAUAAGUUUUCAAAUUUAUAAUCAUGAAUCAAAAUUUUAACUACUAAAAAAUUUCUUGCAUCACUAUUAAUAUGAUCUUUAAGGGAAUCAUUAACUUCAUUAUGCUCAUUAUAAGUUUCUUUUCAUUCUUUGUCAUCAUCCACAAUUUCCAAUUGCAAUGAUGUAUUCUCCUUCCCAUUUUCCUUCCUUGUAGGUAGAAAAAUGGAAAUGACACCAUAAAACAUUUUAAGUUAUAAAGAAAUAACUCAGAAAGCUAAGGUUAAUAAUUUUAAAUCAUUGAAAAAUACUAGGCAAAUGGGUGAACACCUUAGCUGGCUUGAGGCAUAAGCCUUGCUCAGUCAAGGUGUAAGCCUCUCACGUGACCUUAAAGGUUGUGUUUUGAGGCAUUUUAUGAUAGCCUCACAUGAGGCGGGAUUUGAGGCGUAAACCUCAAAUAGUGUUUUUAAACCAUGAUGCUACCUAUGCAUGUUAUGGACAGAAAUAUGCUAAUUAUGCUUGUUUACUUGGAUCUUUGAAUAGAUCUAGUAAUGAGCCAAAUGGAGUGGCGAAAGCGAUUCAUGUAGUUGACCCCAAAUUUUUUGGAACAACGCUUAAUUUGCUGCAGCUUAAAUAUUUUUCAAUUCACCUGACUGUAAAUGUCCACGGGUCUAAUCCUCUGACAUUUUUCUCUCUAAAGCUAAGCAUACUUAUUAUUCAUACUUGAUGUCAUAGAGAUGAAAGAACUGGGUUCCAGAUGCAAAACGAAUUCAUCUUUUUCGUCCUUUGACCAGUACUCUUUUCUCUACAAUUUCAUGCUGUUUUGCUCACGUGAGGCUAUAUGCUUUGAUGAUACUGGAAUUAUAUUUCUUAAUAUUACCACGAUUUGAGCCCCUCACAUUCCAUCAAUGAUCAGCUGGGCUUACACUCUUUGGUCUAUAAGAAUCAAGUAUCUCGUGAAAACUUGACUCUGCUCGUUUUCUUAAUGUUGUUCUUCUAGUUAUUUAAGGCCAUUUUCAGCAAAUGAUAAAACCUGUCUCACUUAGUCAAUUAAUAUUGUUUCAAUGGAUUAUUAAUCUUUGUAGGUUUUAAUUUUUGUAGCUAGACUAUAUCAUUAUCUUCAUUCCUUUUGGCAGGAGACAAUAGAGAGAAAAGCAGGAAGCUCGGAAGGUGUCUUACAGAUGCUCUGAAACUUGUUUUGCUGAUAGGUACCUCUAGUUUUGAUGCAAUUUAUAUCAAGGCAGGGAAAUAUAGGUUCGAUAAAAAUUUGCUUUUUUUGCAGAAUUAUCCCCAAAGAUCUCGGUCAGAGCAGAAUAGAUAAAAUCCUAAGAAAAGCUGAAAAUUAACCAAGGACUAUUUCUUGAAACUCCUUCUCGCCGUGACCUUCUCUUAAAUUCUCAAAACUUCUCUCGCUCCAUCCCCGUAGGGUGAGGAUUUGGUGUUGCUCAUAUUUUACAAGAGAUGCUUACUUAUAAAUCUGAUCAUAUUAGCGCAAAUUAGUAAAAAAUCGAUUAGAAUAAAAGAAAUCAGUAAAAAAAAACGAAUAAAAAUUCACAAUUGGAAAGGGAGUUCCCUCCAAACGAUGGAUCUAAUUGUGCUCGACGCUCCAUUUUUUUAUAUUAUUUAUUAUUAUUAUUAUUAUUUUUUCCGAAGUAACUCUCAUCAACUAGCAAAAUUCAUGGAUUUUGGAAAAAGGGGAAGGUUGGUUAGCUCACCCUCGCGGGAUCGCGACCUUUUUUCCUCACCAUUGUUCCCAUGAUCCUGAACCGAUCUUACCUGGGACUUGAGACUAAAAAGGCCCAAUAACAAUUUCAAUAUAAAUUCAGUAUGGUCUUGAAAAAAUAAUGUUACUCAGGAGAAGUUGAUUUUUGAGUAUUUUAGUCUUGCUCAAAAGUAUUUAAGUCUGUGGAGCCACUAGCUGAUUGUUCGAUCGUAAAACUAAUGUAAGACAUUGAGUAUAUUCAAUGAGGUGCUAGUGAUACAGAAGUUUUAGCCGUUGGGCUGUAAUCUGUUGCUAACUAUUUUAGCUGCAACAAUUUCCUAGGUCUAGCAGUACUUAGAAAGCCUAAAGCUUUCCUUUUCCCAAAUUAAAUCAACAUUGUGGUCUGAUAUCAGGUUCUCACUAUUAUUCUGAUUUCAAAUCCUCAAUCCACAAUUCUGGCCUGAUAUGCAUGGAAAAUGCAGUUUUUUAAGGAAAAGAAUGACCCCUUUUCUUUCCCCGGUAUUUCCUAAACCAUAUCUGGUGAAGUGACACCAAAAUCUGUUCAUGUUCAACACUUCAGUUUUCUAUUGUUUAUAGUAUGAAAACCUAACAUAGGGAGGGAAAACAUUAUGGCGUGUUUCUUCUGUUGGCAUGUGGAUCAUCAUGAAAUGGAUCUUGUUGCCAUGCUUACGAUACCCAUUUUGGCUCUGAUUCAGAGACAAUGUUGAAAUGAUAUAUGAUUGCUAUAGAAACAAUUCGCUCACAUAAUAUAGAUACCUCAGACUCAUGCUUCGUUGUGCUUAUUAUGCAGUGACUGUAAUUUAAAUGUAAAUGAUAAAUGAAAUGAUACCAUUACAGUGUAAUAAAUAAGAAAUGGACUUACUUCUUCCAUGGUGUUGGUGGGAUUCAGAUAAGGGAGGACUUGCAUAGAAAUACUAGCAUAACAAUUUGUUUUAUUUAAAUUAAAGCUGAACUCCUGGUUAAUAUCUAACAUAGAACAUAAGAACUGGGUGGACCUUGUGCUCAUUAUGAUUGAAAUAACUAGUAGACAAACAAUAGAAUGGAAUUCUCAGAUUCCUCCGCUGCUUGGAUGCUUCUUUGUGGUUAUCUCAUAUCCUUGUGCAGGGAAUGUGUUUGGAAACGGAAAUAAUAAUUGAAAUGUCCCACAACAGGAUGGUUAAAGAAAUAGACCUACGUCACCCAUGAUGUUGCCGAGAUUCAAUGAAGUGAGGAGUUACUUAUAGACACCAGCACAGCAAGUUGGUCCAUUUUGGAAUUCUAGCCACACUCGUGGCCAUCCUUUUUUAUUGAACAUUAAGAAUAGUUGUGAGCAUGUUCUCAAUUGCGGUGACCAGUAUCAAAUAGUAGAAUUAGAAUCUCAGAAGUUUUUUCGCUGCUGGGAUUUUCGUGAAAAUUGAUAUGAAAAGAUUAUUCCUGACUUCAAUGCCUACAUACCGAACUCUCAUUUUUUUAGUUGUCAUCAUUUCUUUUCUUUUCUUCUUUUUCUGGAUUUGGUGUUAGAUCCAGUCUGAUCUGAUUAGUUGUAAAUAGCUUAUGGCAAGACCCUGCUAUGUACAUCAUCACUCUAUGUAGCUUUAUACCUAUCAAAGAAGUUGGAUAUUGUACCUUCAGAGAAAUGGGCUAGCAUUAGUGUAUUACCAAAACCAAUUCAUAUAUGUUUUAAAAAUGCAGCUGAGCUACUUUUGACUUGAUGUUAUUUUGCUUUUGGUGAUUUAAAAAUAUUAUUUCUUUUCAACAAAUGAAAGUUAUAGGUGAGGAGAUACUGAGAAAUGGGAAAAGCUGUGUGAUUUUAUCUACUCUUAGCAUAAUUGUGCACGUUGCUACUAAACAGUGGACCCACCCUGAUGCGAGAUAUUGCCCAUAGGAAGCUUACCUAUGUUGUUUAAAUGAUAUUAAUAUUGAAUAAUCUCAAGGAUGUUUCAUGAAAAUACUGACCAAUUAUACUUGGUUGCUUAUAAUUGAUAUGGGUUUGAGCUGAGCUGAGGUGGUUUCCUAUAAGUAGAUAAAAAAAGUAGGCUUAUUUAUUGAUAUCAAUUAUCAUGGGACUAACCACAUUCCAUCAAGUUGGGAUGAUACUUUCAUGCGAUGUUCAAUGAAUCUGUGCUGUCAAUCCCUAGCUAAGUGUUAUCGGACCUUACGUUUUAUAGAAAAAUGAAUUAUAUAGAGCACAAGUUUUAAGUUGUUAAAAAUCACCUAGAACAUUUUGACAUUUUUAAAAUGAAUAUCCUAACCUUGAAGUAGUUUUCCUAAACUAUUUGAGUAGCUGAUACUGUUUUCCUGAUUGUGUAGGCAUGGUGGUUAUGGCAUUUGGUCCAAGUUAUUCUUACUCUCUCAUCAGAAUAUUGUAUGGUAGGAAAUGGAGUGAUGGAGAAGCUUCAACAGCCCUACAAUAUUAUUGCCUUUAUGUAAUAGUCUUGGCCAUGAAUGGUAAGUGGAUCCUACAUGUCACUCUAUUAAUUUAUUUUUUGUUGUCUACGUGAGUAAGUUGCAUUUUUAAUAUUUUCCUCACGUAUCUGUUUUUAACUUGCUAUUUAAGUUCUAUGUGGUACUUGUCUUAUUCUACAUUUAUUUUCAUGACAAGAAGAUAAUACCUCAAAAAACACUGUGUAGCAGUAGCAGUCUUGCUUGCAUUAAUGGAAACCUUAAUUCUGUAGAUGAGAACUGUAUGACCUAAAAUUACUUGAGCCAGAUAAAUGUUACACACACAAUUGAGAUUGUAAUAUGGAAUUUUGUUUUUGUUUUCGCUUUAGGUACAUCUGAAGCAUUUUUGCAUGCAGUUGCAACAGAGAACCAACUCAAGCAAUCAAACAAUUCAUUGGUUGUGUUCUCAUUGGUUUAUCUAGUGUUGAAUGUAUUACUAAUAAGAUCAGCUGGAGCAGUGGGGUUGAUCACUGCAAAUUCUUUGAGUAUCCUCUAUUAUAUUAAUGAAGUUCUUAUCAUAUUCUUCUUUUCUGAUCAAUUCUUUGCUGACUAUUCUACAUGAAAAAAAUUCUCUCAUCAAUGAGCAGUGGGACGUUCAAGUUAAAAAAGGAAAUAAGGCUACUUAAUCAGUCCAAUCUUGGCAUUUUAAGGCAAAAAUUGCAAAAUAUUUUUGCAGGAUGUGUAUUCUGAGAGUGAAGGUGGAUGUGUAAGUGGCUGGUUGGGUGGUUUGACAGGCAGUGUAUGUAUUUUUGUGUUGCCAACCUUCACGCCUGCUCGAAAUUAAGACAGUAAUCAUAAUUUACACACACUGCUUCCUUGACUGUUAUAAAGACAUGAUUUUCAGGAUUGUUUAUUCAGCGAGAUUCAUCAGCAAUUAUUUCAAGGUAUACCUGUAAUUUGUGCAAAUUACUUUGUUUGCAUUCCGUAAAAUUUCAGCUUGACCUUAGUGAAAUGUGAAAUACAUACACGUAUGAUUAUGAAUAUCUUAAAUGCAGACUUAAAAUGCAUUGUUCAUUCUUCUUCUCAGGAGUCUUCCUCGUUUUCUUUUCGUGAAUGCUUGCCCUCUGGGUGGGAAUAUCUACUAUUUUCAGGUGUAGCCACUUUCAUAUUUGAGAAAAUAUAUUUGGACCGAGAUGACUUCUGGGCCACAUUUUUCGUUCACUUCUCCUUUGGAUUCGCAUGUUUCAGCGUAACAGCAUUUGCAAUGUGAGUUUUAAUCUAUGCCCUUGAUAUUGUCUUAUCCUACCACUUUCUUUUAGUGUUACAGUCUUUCAGUGACAUCUCUACUCAUGAUGGUAACUUUUUAUUUUCAUUACUAGCUACCGUAAGGAGAGACUGUUUAUCAGAAAAAUUAUCCGUUUUCGCGAGCAUGCUGACUGAAACUCUUGAAGUUUGAAGGUGAGACGGUAUAUUCACUGUGCCUUUUUAUUUAUUUAUUUUUUUUGGGUACUUUAAAAAAUGUAAAAACGGUAUAUAUUCACUGUGCCUUCGUUAGCAUAAUUUUGUUUAGGACUAAAAUUUCAUUAGGUUUGCAGGGAACCUAUUUUGAUCGGAAUGCACGAAGGACUUUUCUAAUAAGUACAUUAUUUUAAAUUUUGAUUACCAAAAAGUUAUUUAUGUUAAAGUAUACUUAUUUUGCUUAUAAGUAACUUUUUUAAAGCCUAGCCAAAUAUGCAAAAGGUUUGGAUGAGAAUAUUUUCAUUUUUGAAAGUUCGGUGAAAUUUUAAUUGACUCGCUCAACUUUAUUUUUUGUCAAUUAAAUAAUUGAAUUUCAAUGUUCUUUCAAUUCUAGUCACUUCCUUAACUCUCUAAUCUUCGCGAACGUUAAAAAUUGAUAGCAAUGUGACUGUGUUUAACAAUUUUAGGUUAAUAUGCCAUAUAAUUAUGUGUUGAAUGGUGACGAUAAAAUUGAAAAUAAAUUAUUUCUCCCUAAUUUCUCCAGUCAUGAUACGAUUAGGUGGCAUUUUCACCUAGAAACGAGAGCUAGUCGAGGGAGUUAAGUAAUAACUUGGACUAAUAUAGUCGAAAUUGAAGUUCAGUGUACCGAUUGUGAUAAUUGGCAAAUUAAAGUUGAGUAACCUAAUUGAGAUAUCAUUGAAAGUUCAGUAAUUAAAAGCCAGGAUCUCCACAAAAGUCUAGUCUUUCAAAAUUGUAGUUGAAAACGCCUCAAAAUGUCAUUUAACAUAACAUUGGGACUUAUGAGGGACUAUUUCAAGAAUAAUAUUAUUUGUAAUCGUCCUACGUGAUAUACAUGUGGUGAUUAGUGAUUUGAUGCAUUAGAUAAUAAAAAAUUAUUAUAUUAAUGUGUCAAAUCACUGUCACACGUAUGUCACGUAGAGCGACUGCAGUAGUGAAUGAUUGCAAAUAACAUUGCUUCCCUUUCAAUAAAAAAGAAAAAGAUUAAACAGCUGACUUGUUUCUUUUCAUUUCACAAGGAUUUAUACCAUUUUACUUCGGGGUUGACAUGGUUCUAUAUGGUUCUGAUUCCAAAAGAGCUGAACCAUGAAUCAAUGAUUUUUUUGAUGAUGGAACCAAAUGAAUUUUUUAAAGAUAUGAAACCAAAUUGAACCGAAUCGUUUGAUUUUGGUUUGGUUUGGUUUGUUGCUAAUUUUAUUUAGUAAAAUUUUAGAUUUGCAUCAUAUAAAUUAGUAAUGUAGACUUAAAUAAGAAAAUAAAUAUGAAACAUUUAGGAAGUUUAAAUUUCAAUUAUUGAGAUAAAAAGAAAGUCAUAACUAACAAACAAAAUAUAUUAAUAAUUUGAAUAUACAAAUUGAUUUUCGUUUUCAUACAAAGAAUUGUUUAAUAAGUAAUAGCAAUGAUUCGCUAAAUUAAUUGCAAUAGUUUUGAAGGCACACUCCUACAAUAAAAUAUCAAUUAUCAAAUUUUUUACGGUCCACUUCUACAAGCAAUAUUAACUGUUUAAUAUUUUAUGAAAGUUUAUUGGGUUUUCUUCUGUUUGUGAAGAACACAAAUAACUAAUCAAACAAUCAAUGUAAAAAAAGAGUUUAGAGCCUUUUUAAGUAAUUGGCCAAUUUCAUUUUUCGAUCUUAAAUGACACUCCACUUACUUGAUGAAAUGCGGUAUCAGUAUGUGCGACGUUGUGUAAAUUGAAAAGGAGUGAAGGGGAAAUAAUUCAAUUGAAUACAAAAUUAGGGUGUAGACAACUAAUAAAUUGUUUAUCUCUAAUGAACCAAAAUCGAUUAAUAAACUGUAUUUAAUUAAUGAGUUAUCUCCAAUGAAUAUAAAAUUCGUGUCUCCACUAAUUAUUAUAUAUAAAAUUAAAUAUUAAGUUUGGUUCUGGUUGUGGUUUUUGAACUAGAACUGAAGUAGAAUCAAAAUCAAAUGGUUCUCGGUUCAAAUAAGUAAAAUCACUAAUUUUUUUGAUAGAACUGAACCGAACCACUUGGUUUUGUUUGGUAUUGGUUUGGUCUGGACAUUUUGUCCAUCCCUAAUUUCACUCUAUAUGUGAUGAAAAAAAUAAAUAAAGAUAAGAUGAAUCAUACAACCUUAAUAUUAAAAUUUGAAAAAAUUGCAGUCACAAUACUAAACCUUUAAUUUAAUAUCAGAUUAGAUCCAAACAUUUCAUUUGUGUCACUCAUGAUAUCAAACCUUUAAGAAAUUCUCGCUUCGAGUCCAAAUAGAUGAAAAUUGUUAGUUUGACUGUUAGUUGCCUAGAUAAUUGAUUUGACAAUAAUUUUAACUAAUUUUAAAAAGUUAAAAGGGUAACUUUAUAUUUUUUUGUAAUAAAAUAACUAAAAUAAAAAACCAAAUAACUUUUCUUCACCACACCCACUCCACUACUAGACAGCUCCAUCGCACCCACCCAAAGCCAACAUCACCUCCGUUGCCUCCACCUUCAUCACACCACAACAUCUCUACCUCAUAUACACAGCCAACACAACCCAAUUGUCCACAAGAUAAGGUUCGGCUUUUGACAUAAAAAUGCAAUUUGAGAAUAGAAAAAUAUACAAGGUGAACAAGUUGUACGGUGAACAUUCGUACCACCGCCACCAUCUGACUGCCAUCUUCGCCAUCAUUUUUUCCUCACUACCAUUACCACUUUCAUUCACUAGAACCACCAACAGUGGCGGUGGCGGUAACGCUAGAAAAACUAAAGGAAACCAUCCAUUUGGAUUCCAAGCGAGAAUUUUUGAAAAAUUUGUAACCGUGGGUGCACAAAUGAAAGAUUUGAGUCAAGUCCGCUAUUAUGUUUGGUGCCGUGGCUACAAUUUUAUCUUAAAAUUUAGUUUGAAAGCUAAAUAAAUCAAGUUCAAAAUUAUAAAACCUAUCUAUGAUAAGCCUGAUUUGAAACAUCUUUAAUUUCCAUUACGCUAAAUUAUAUACCGAAGAAUCCAAUUUGUCAAUAGGUUUAUUUAUUUUAAUCGAAUUCAAUUUAACAAAUAUAUCAAAAAUUUCUUAUUUACACUAAUUAUAUAUCACAAGUAAAAUUUCACAAAGACGGGGCAUUUGGAUUGCUUUCCCUUCAUGUAUUUCGGUUCUAUUCCUUUUCUCAUCCACUUUAGAAGGUCCAAAUCAUUUGUUUGUCUAUUUAUCAUAUCUUAACAUACUUUAAAGAUAAGUGGUGGUGGGAUUUACACAACUCUUCAUACUUUAAAGCAACUUUAUUUUAAGACAAAUGAUAGGAUAUGACAUGUAAUGAUGAAUGUGGGGCCCUUUCAAAACCACUCUAUUUUCUUUUGGGACAAAAAAUAUUGAUCUUUUAAGAGAAUGUUUCAAAUGUGUGAUUAUGGGCUCAGAGAUUGCAUGGAUCCUUAAUUGUCUUCUUAGCUUUUGAAUCACAAAAAAGUGAACUUAUUUUCUAGUCAUUCAUCAUGAUAUGUCAAAGAUUAUACCUACAAACAAGAAUGCUUGAAUUUUUUACUCCUUAUUUUUGGAUCAAAACGACAAAAAGAUAAUCAUUAUUCUUUGAAAGUUUAGUUGCAGUGAAAAUUUUUCUUAAGCAAGUUAAGAGCUAUGUAAAAAUUUAGAUUUUGAAUUUCUUAGUCAUAAGUAUAGGUGUCGUUCAAAUUUGAACUUAGCUCUUGUUUGGUACCCUUUUAAGUUAUGAUUUUAGCAUGGCCUCAACUUUAGAGGGUUAUGAUCAAGUGAAAAUUUUUGACUUGAAAGGCAUUGUUUCACAUGCCAAUACCCUCAUCUUCAAACACUAAUGAUUUUGUCCUCCACUAGGGAUAAAAUGAUGAAUAAAAAGUCCUAUUCUCUAACAAAAAAGUAGAUCGUUUGCUUUGUACGAUUCAUUUGUACGUUUGUACAUAUACAGUUUUGAACAUGAGUUGAAAUUACGGUUUGACUUUAUGUGAAUAAAAAGUAAUUUUUAAGUUACUAAUAAAAAUGUUAGAUGAAUACAGAGAAAGUAAUAUAAAGCUUUAGUUGGUCGAUCAAAAUUCUCAUCUCAUUUUUUUUUUCCUGAAUAUCUUUGGCUAGGCCUAACCUGUAUAUACACUUACUAUGUGGAUUAUCUAUGUUAAACUAGUAAAAAUUCAUAUAUAAUGAAACUAUAAAAACAAAAAGAAAAAAAAAAAAGAGAGAUUCAUCCACUGAAUUAUUUUUCCAAACAGCAUUUAAUCAGAUUGAACACUAAUGAAUUCCUAGAAUAGCAGACAAAAUCAUUGCAUCUUUGGAAUAUACCUUUCUUUUUUCUAGUUUUACUUUUAGUUAAUUUUCAAUUUUGGUCUUAUAAAAAAGGAGAUAUAAGUAGUUGAUUUUAAAGAAUAAUGUUAUUUGUACAUAAUGAAAUUACGUUAUGAUAUUCAUAUAGAUUACCUGUCAAAAA